CACAAAUUUGUACAAAGACAUAUAUGCUAUAUUCCGCAGCAACAUAGGGCUCCUUGACAAACGCUAUCGAAAGUGAUACCCUUUUGUGCACAACUCUGAAUACAUUCUUGAGGAUGAUCUGGAUACAAAUCAGGUCAUUUCUCACAGUCUUGUGGCGAAGGAGCGUCAUUUGAUAGUGUAUUUCUGGUAAGAAAUCAAUGAGGGUUGUCCUAAUUGAAAAUCGAAUCGAAAUCAUUCCAAAUUGAAUGCGUCAAUCGAUUGGUUAAUGGCCCAAUGAAUUGAUUAAUCGAGUCUUUCUUGAUUUUAAACGUCCAUCAUCAAUUAUGGGAUUUGAUUACUUUGAAGCAUGCAUUUAGCUUGGAUUUGAUUUGUCUGUGCGUCAAGCUCUUCCAAUCAAUUUCUUUAAGGUGUCAAUCAAAUGGACUUACCUUAGUUCCUCUUUGGUGCAUUUUAGACUGUAUGCCGGGUUUUGUGAUUUUUCUACACCCCACUUCAUAUUUAUUUAUACCUCAUUUCCAUGAAACACUUAGAAACUCCUCUUUUUGGUUAGUGGACAUUAUUUAUCGAGAUGCGCAAAAUUAAAAUCAUUAUUUUUAAAGAUUAAUCGAUUUUUUUUAGAUCAUUACAACCAUAAAACAAUGUACUACCUCAAAUAUCAAAAGCUAAAUGGACGAUGCAUUCUAAAACUCAAUUUUUUAUGUAUUUAUUUUAAACUUAUUUUGAUAGUAUCCAUAAAGAUAGUAUUUGUACAUUAACUUGUACAAAGACAUGUAUAUGCUAUAUUCCGCAGCAACAUAGGGCUCCUUGACAAGCGCUACCGAAAGUGAUACCCUUUUGUGCACAACUCUGAAUACAUUGUUGAGGAUGAUCUGGACACAAAUCAGGUCGUUUCUCACAGUCUUGUGGCGAAGGAGCGUCAUUUAAUCUUUCUUUUGUUCCAACCACUUUGUAUGUGCCUACAAUUAUAUAAAAAAUUAUAGAAUCAAAACGGAUGCCUUGAAUCAAUUAUACGAACAAUUAUUUUACAUCAAAAUUUAAAUCAAAUUAACAUAGAAAAAUAACAUAUAAACUUAAGCAUACCUUGAAUCAAAACGGAAACAAUGCACACAAUUGCAAUGAAAAGACACAUAUGGUUGAUACGGGUCGCCAUGUUUUCAGUUUUCAAUGAAAAUCGACCAACAACUAGGGACUAUUUAUUGAGACAAAUGGAAAUAGUUUUGGAAAUGAAUAAACAAAAAGUUAAAUGUGUAUAUAAUAUCUUAAUAGUUUCUUUUGGUCAAAAAGAAAUAUUUUAUGAUUUCAUUUUUCUUAGUUUUAAUUUUUAAUGAUAAAUUAAUGCAUUAAUUUGGUAAAAAAAUAAUAAUAAAUUCAUUCAAUUUUAACAUAAAAUAUAAUUUCUCCCGUCCUUUUUUAAAAGUUAAUUGAGUCAUAUUGCAUUUCGUUCAUAUAUUAAACCAAAUAUAAUAAAAAAAAUCAAAUACAUUAAAUGUUGCUGAUUCUAAUAUCUCUUGCAAAAAAAUAUUCAUUGUACCAAAAAAUUAUUUUCAUUUUUAAUAGAUUUAAUCUAUUGAUUAAUUUGAGUUAUUUAGUGUAACUUGUCAAAAUUUAAAUUUGUAAAAAAUGAGUUAAAAAUAAAAUAAUUUAUUUUGAAUUUAAUUAAUAUGCAUUAUCAGUGUAAAAUAGUUUUAUAUUAUCAUCCAAUAAAAUUAACAAUUUAUCAUAUAAUUAAAAUGAUUUAAAAUUUAAAUGUGAUUUGAUGUAAUAUACGUCGGUGAUUGAUAUUGUAUAAUUAUACCAUAUUGACGAUACAUAUUCUAUUUUCUCAUUUAUUAAUUUAAAAUUGGUUUAAAAUUUUAAUUUAUUUUAAAAUAAAAUAAAGUGGAAUUAUAAAAUUAUAUUGUUUGAUUGGUGAAAAAAUAUUAAUAUUUAACUAGAUUCAAAGAUACUAGACCGUUCACAUUUAAUAAAUUCAGUCAAAUGCUUAGGAAAAAAUCAGUCUAAUUUUCAUUUAGUGACUUAUUAAAUCAUGUUCAAAAAUCAAUAAUAUAUUUGACCAAAAAGCUCAGUAAAACGUUAAAGUAUUCCGGAUAUGCAUCUUCAGAAUAUUUUGGAGGUUAAAUCGCGUCAGAUCCUUCUCCUUCCCCAUUUAUCAUUUUACUCAAACUCAACUUCAAACUCUCUCAACUUUUUUUCUCUACACCAAGUCAAAACUCAAUCAACAAGGCUCAAGGGAACUUCAAUCAACAUCUGUAACAUCAAAAACAACAUUAGAAACAUCAAUUUUGUAUGUUUUUUGAGUUUCUGUGUAAAUGAGUAAAAAUCAUUGAUUAAGGUUAGAAAUGAGUAAAAAUAUCAUUUAAGAUAAUUUAGACAUAGUGUAUUAGACGUUGGUUGGCUGAAAAGGAUGAUCAAAGCAUAUUUUUGGAACUUCAUGGGGUACAUUGACGCCAUUAACGCAACUUCUAGGGUUGCAUAAAAUUCCAGAGAUGAAUCUCCAGAAUUUUUCAGUGAUUUAGUUUCCCAGAUUUCGAUGGAAUUUUCUCAGUACUUUUUUUUUUUAUUUUCUUGCUUGUGGUGUUGUUUGUCUCACUAAUUUUCUGCUUUACUUUAACUUACAUGCAUAAUGGAUGAUAAACAUGAUAGACUGAGACACGAAAGGGUUGCUCAACACACAUCAAUGCAGCGGGAUAAAAGUCAGCAGGUUUCGGAGGCUCCUAGUCCCUCUGGUCAUGCAUAAUCAUCUACUUAUGGGGCUCGUGCUACUCCUCAUGUCACUCUAUCUUCUUCUUCCCGUAGGAGACAUGAUUUACCAUCUGACGCAUCACUCCCUCCAUCCUUCCGCAGGCACCAGAUACCUGAUUCACCAGUGCCACCUCCUGAUGUAGAUGCUUCUAAGUUUGUGUCACCUCUUACUCCUGAUGUUGCUGAUCCAGUGCCACCUCUAGUGGGUCUGUUGCGGGUGCUGAGUUAGAGGCAUUUGGAGGAGGCCUUUUUGAUUUGUCAUUACUGCCUUUGUACUCGGACCAUAUUCCCAAACAUAUCUGGGAAGGAGAGGUAACAUUAGUUGAAUUCAUUCUUUUUUAUUUAUUUAUGUUAAUUUUAAUUGACAACUGUCUGACAUUAAUUUUUUUUCAUGAGCGUGAUCUGCAAAAGUUUAUUAACCACAUGCAAAAGAUUAUUGGCUUGCCUCAUCCGAAUGAGGAUUGGUUUGAGGGGUUUUGUCCUUAUUUGGCAUGCAGGACCUGCGCAUGACCGAUUAUACUACGGUAAACCAUGGGAUGCUUAAUGCAUCCGUGGAGAGAUGGAACUCAGAGACCUCAUCAUUUCCUCUCCCGCUUGAUGAGAUGACUAUCACACUCGACGAUGUCUCGUAUUUGGAACAUAUUUCGAUUGAGGGGAGAAUCCUAGAUCAUGGGAGGACUACCAAAGAUGAGACACAUUAGAAGAUGGUAGACUAUCUAGGGGCUAACCCAGGGGAGGCGAAUGAGGAGUUGGAUAGGACCCGGGGAGCUCAUGCUAGGUUUGAAUACUUGAAGAAGAUAUAUACAUAUGAGCUACAUAGAGCAUAUCAAGCCACAGGUGAUGACGAGCAAAUGACGCUCCACAUAACGCAUGCUAUGAGAGCAUACCUGCUAUAUUUGGUUGGCACUGCCAUUUUUUUGAACAUGAGUGCCACUUAUACAGAUGUCGUCUACCUACUGUACUUCCUGGAUUUCGAGCGGAUCCAUGAGUAUAAUUGAGGGCCCACUUGUUUGGUAUACCUGUAGUCGAAGUUGAGAGAGAGUUGUAUGUGGAAGACGAAGCAGGUCACAAUUAUCGUCACACUAUUGACAAUAAUAAUUAUUGGUAUUUUAAUAUUUCUUUGUCAUUUUCAUUUCAUCUUUGCAAGGUCAUUAUUGAUUUAUUCGUGUGAUCAAAACUUUUCAUUUCAGGCUUGAAUCCUCCAACACUUCCCGCGCAUCUCUGAUAGAGCGAGUGUUAAGAUUUACACUGAGAAUAUGCCACGUGCUACUGCUUUUUCCACGCUUAUAGGGAGCCAAGCGAUUGAGUCUUUCAAAAUGUAUCUUGACUAUUUGGUUGUUAGGGAAAUACACUUCAACAACUAUGUCGAUCACUGUGAGAUGCAACCAUUUGACGAGAUAAUGCUAUACUCUAGAUGGUUGGCCUGCGGAUUAUGUCUCACUUCUUCUCAUCUGCCCGAGUGCGUCAUGUGGUAGUUUGACUACACUCAGACAAUUCCUAGACACCUUGUUGUCUCUGUUCCUUCUGCUUUGACACGUAGACAGAUAGAUGACGUGUUUGAUGAUUAUGAGAGUCAUCUGAUACCGGAGGAGGCACAUAGUAUCAUAGCCGUGAAUGACUAGAGCUACGUCGAAGGAUAUAUCAGAUGGUUCUUUAGGCUGUCACAUCCGUACAUGGUGCAUGCUGCUUUAGGAGACCCGUCUAGGCCAACUCAUCAGGAGAUACUAGAGGAGGACUAGACACAGUUAGAUUAUGUUGAGGAUGUCUCGCUUAGAUGUCAUUGAAUUAUGGAGAUUACGCAGGCAGACAUUGACAUAGGUAUCUUUCCUGAUGGUUCUUAUGUGAAACAGGUCCUAGAUGCCAUCAUGACGGAGGCACAUGGGGCAUUGAUGUACCAGAGAUAACGUCAAAGGAUCGAGGGAUUGAUGGUCGAGGAGGCAGAGCUGGAAGAGGAGGCAAAUGCGACGUAGUCAGACAUACACAAUAGUACAUUAGUAUAUAGUAGUAAUAAUACUACUAUGAAUUGUAUUUUAUUUUGACAUCAUUCUAUUUUAUCGUUGUUCUCUACUUUUUUGACAUUUAUUGGUCUUUUAUUUAUAUAUGAUAUUUUUGGACCAUCUGUAGUUAUGUACGUCAGUUUUUGUAUAUCACUUGUAUGAUUUAAACCUUCAUAUGAGAAAACAUAAACAAAACAUAGCAUGAACAAUUUUGUUCUGAAAAGUUACGAAGAUGUAUCUCUGUAAAAUAAACGGAGAUGUAUCUCCGUAAAAUAAACAGAGAUGCAUCUCCGGAAUAUUUUAAAUUGUAGAAUGACUUCUGAGUGUGAUCCAUGGUAUACGUUUUAAAUUGUUAUGGAGAUGCAUCUCCGAAAUAUUUUAACGUUUAAUCAGAAUUUGGUGCGUUCAGAGAUGCAUCACCGAAAAUUGGGAGCAUUUUAGAAAAUUUGCAUGGUGGGUAAGAAACAUAUAGGGUGCAUUAAGAAUUCUAAAAAAAAAUUGGGUUUACAUUUUGUAUAACAAUUUGGGCCUGGAGUCCAAUAUCUAAUCUACCCUAGCCCAAGUCAACCGAAAUCCUAACAAUACUCUGAGCUGCUUCGUUACUCUGUCGAUGCUUGAGGCUGGCAUGGCUCAGAUCUUUCAUCUUUCUCUUCAUCGCACCACACAAAAUUCCAUAGUGAUUUUUGGAUAACUUUCCUUCCUCCAUCUUUUCUAACCCUUGAAAGGGUUUAUAACCAACUUGUCUUAUGCUUCUUCUUUUUUUCUUAGUGACCACUUUUGUAAAAGACUUAUUAAUGAAAUGAUUCUAAAAAUGCAUCUCUUAAAAAUGUGACUUUAUUUGAAUAUGCUUCUCUCAAAGAUGUAUAUACUUUUCUCAAAGAUGUGUAUCUAAAAGAUAGACGUUAAAGAACCAACAAUACAUGUAUAGAAAACAAUUACACCGGUAACUCUGAUCAUGAAUAUAAUAGAUUUUUGAGUUAUGAAUUACAUGUAAUACUAAUACCGUAAUUACAAGUUUAGAAUAACAAUCACAUUAUUAACUAUUGAUACGGAAUAAGGGCAUAUGUUUGUUUUAACUUUUAAAAAAAAAUGAAUUUUUAAAAAUGAAUUUUAUAAAACUAUUUUUUAAAAUAUUACAAGUUUUUUUAUAUCUGUUUUUUCUAAAUUAAAAGACUAAUUUAAACAUCUUAUAAUAUAAACAUACAUUAUUGAAGUUUAAAAUAUAGUCGAAAUCGUAAUUUUUUAAAAAGAUGUAUUUCAAAAAUGAAUUUUAUGAAAAACUAUUUGAUAUAACUUCAAAAUGAAGUGAUUUUUUUUGAAAUUUUGAUAUUCAAAAAAAGUUUCAAUAAAAUUAUGAAAUAUCUAAAAUAACAUUUUAAGAAUAACUAUUCAAAUAAAAUUUUAAUUUGAAGCCCUAAUGAAAAAUUUCUUUAUAAAUUUUUUUCACACAAAAUUAUGUUACACUAGAAAAAUCAUUUUAAUAAAAAGCUAAAACAAACGGACUCUAAAUUAGAAAUUAUAGUAUGGAACUGGACUAUUUUUUUUCCAAUACAACAAGUCUAAUAGAUACGUCGUCUUUCAUACAUAAAUCUUAAUUGCCACAGAAAUACGAUCCAACAGAUCUUUAAUGUAAAGUCUCUUGCUGCAAAUCUAACCUAAGCACCUGCCCAUCUGAAGAAAAAAUUAAGAGAACAAUGUGAGAUGAGAUAUUAAUCUCAGUGGAUUCCUAAACUAAACCAUAUAAUCUAUCACUACCCAUCAUGGUAUUCUCUCGUGUCCCAAAAUCAACUAAUAGGAAAAUCUCAUAUUCCUUCAAGGUCAUCUUUCAUCCACAUUCUAAUAUCAACAAUCUAGUACUUAUGAACUUGACAUGAUUACAUGAUAAAUCACCAUACCCAUAAAUCAGAGUAUCAUAGUAAAUCACAUAUUCCUCUAUUGGCUAGACCAGAACAAAUCAUAUUCCCUUUACUUACUCACUAUGAUAGAUGACAUGUUUUUGUGAUGGGUACUAGGUCAAAUCAUAUGACAUAUGACUGAAUCAAUGAAUAAAUCACAUAUCCGUAUGACCAAAUUACCAAGAUAAAUCACAUAUCCUCCCAUGAAUAAAUCACAUGUCCAUCAUUGAGAAUAUCAUAAUAGAUCAUAUAUUGCUCUACUAGGAGAAUCGGGAAUCAUCGAAUAUCAUUGAGUUAAAUAUUGUGAUAAAUCACAUAUUCUUCAUUCAAGUCGCUAGGAUAAGUCACAUAUCCACAUGAAUCAGAACAUCGAUAUAAAUCACGUACCCUCCCAUGGAUAUGUUACAUAUUUGCCACUAGCAAUAAUUGAAAUGCGAUGUCACAAAUGGAUGAAGAGGAUGAAUAUAUGGGUGAUUGACUAGAAGAUAUGAUUUAUGAUAUUGGAUAAUCAUCUUAUAUGAAAGCCCAUAGUUACGAUAUUUUAUAUAGUGAAAAAGAUGUGCCUUUAUAUAAGGGGUGCACCCGUUUUACACGAUUGUCUGAAUUUUUGAAAUUAUUUAAUCUGAAGGAAAAAUAUGGAUGGUCGGAUACAAGUUUCACAUAAUUGCUUGAUUUUUUGAAACAAAUGCUACCAUAAGAUAACAAUUUGUCGGAUCGUUAUUAUGAGGCCAAAAAGAUAUUGUGUCCAAUGGGUUUGGAGUAUGUCAAAAUACAUGCAUACCCUAAUGAUUGCGUAUUAUACAAGAAAGAGUAUGAAAAUUUGGAUCAAUGUCCAAAAUAUGGUGAGUCGCGCUACAAGUUGAAGAACGACAAUGGUGAUGACAAUGACAACGUUAGUAAGAAGCGUCCUCCUGCUAAAGUGUUAUGGUACUUGCCAAUAAUUUCAAUUUUAAAGAUACUUUUUGCUAAUGCGGAUGAUGCAAAGAAUAUUAGAUGGCAUGCAGAUGAAAUAAAAUGUCAUAGAAACAUUCGCCAUGUAGUCGAUUCUUUGCAAUAGAAGAAAAUUGAUUCAUUAUUUUUGGAUUUUGGCCUUGAGCCAAGAAACCUUAAGCUUGGGCUUGCCACAAAUAGAAUGAACCUCUUUGGUAAUCUGAGUACUAACCAUUCUUCAUGACCUGUUCUUCUCAUGAUUUAUAACCUAUCUUCUUGGUUGAGCAUGAAGCGCAAGCAUAUGGUGUUAAGUAUGAUGAUUUCUAAACCAAGACAACCUGGAAACGACAUAGAUGUUUAUCUAAGUCCAUUAAUUGAGGAUUUAAAUCUUUUGUAUGAUAAAGGUGUUGACAUUGAUGAUGCAUAUUAUGUUGAAAAGUUUGAGAUGCAUGCAACGUUAUUUUCCACAAUCAACGACUUUCUUGCAUAUGGUAAUUUGGAUGGAUAUAGUGUCAAAGGACAUAAAGCAGGUCCUAUAUGUGAAUAUAAUACAUGUGUUUCACCAGCUUGAGUCUGAAAAAAGACCGUUUACAUUGAGUAUCAGAAAUUUAUAAAACCCAAUCAUCCUUAUCAUAGAUUGCUGAAGGCUUUUAAUGAGGAUGUUUAAAUAUUAAGCCAAUGGAUCGGGAUGUAGCACUUGAAGCACAUUUCUAUAUAUUGAACAAUCUUAAUGUAGUUGAACCUUACAUAGCCAAUCACAAAACAGUUAUAAAGAAAAAACAUCCCGAAUGAAUGACAAGUGGUUGUUGACACGACAUAACAAGUAAUUCAUAAGUUGGUUUAAUAAGAGGAUUUCUAAUGAUGAUGGUGCAUCAAAGACAAAUAAAUGGUUGUCGUACAUGCCAAAAUUUACUUUGAUAACUUGGACAACAUAUGAUAUUUCUAAUUAUUCCUUUUAUGCAAAAGCAAAAGAUGAUCUUAGUACAAUGCAAAAUAGUAGGGUUAUGGUUGAGGCCGAAUCCAUGUAUUUCUCUAGUUCAAAAGAUAAGAAUCCUAUUUUGGCAACCACCAUAUUUGAUGGUAGCAUUGCAUUAUGGUAGUACUUGAAGCACAUUUCUAUAUAUUGAAUAAUCUUAAUGUAUUUGAACCUUACAUAGCUAAUCACAAAACAAUUAUAAAGAAAAAAUAUCCCGAAUGAAUGACAAGUGGUUGUUGACACGACAUAACAAGGAAUUCAUAAGUUGGUUUAAUAAGAGGAUUUCUAAUGAUGAUGGUGCAUCUGAGACAAGUAAAUGGUUGUCGUACAUGCCAAAAUUUACUUUGAUAACUUGGACAACAUACGACAUUUCUAAUUAUUCCUUUUAUGCAAAAGCAAAAGAUGAUCGUAGUACAAUGCAAAAUAGUAGGGUUAUGGUUGAGGCUGAAUCCAUGUAUUUCUCUAGUUCAAAAGAUAAGAAUCCUAUUUUGGAAACCACCACAUUUUAUGGCAUCAUUGAGGAUAUUUUGGAGAUUGAUUAUGUUAUUUUUAAAGCUCCUUUAUUUAAAUGCAAUUGGGUUCCCAAUAACAAUGAUGUACAAACUGCUGAGUUAGAAUUCAUACGGAUUGACCUUGACAUGACAACUUAUAACACCAAACCAUUGAUCAUGGCUACUCAAGAAAAAUAAGUUUUUUUAUGUGACACUUGCAAAAUUAUCAAGAACAUGGUGAAUUGUUCUCAAAGGAAAACACAUUUCUCAUAGCGAUGAUGAAAAUUUUCAUAUUCCUUCCACUCCUUCCUAUACAACACAAGUGCCUACUUCAUAUGAAUAAGUUGAUAGAGAUGAUGUACAUAUUAUUCGUAACAAUCAUCAAGAAGGCAUACAGGAAAAGUAACAAGUAAUUAUUUUAUAUUCUUCAUUCAUAAUUUAUUGUAUGUUAUAAUUUCAAAUUAUGUUAUUUUCUAACAACUAUUAUUAUUUGAAAUUAUAGGUGUUUAAAGUCAAGACACCAAGAGACAAGACAAUAAGAUAGUAUUAUUUGAUGUAAUGAUGUGUACAUUAUAAGUUGUUUUGUGCCAUUUUGGUUUUGAUGUAAUAUAUAAUUUUUGGUUUCUAAUGGAAUUGCGUCAUUGAUGUAAUUUAAUGUUUGAUCUAAUUCAAUUCACAAAUGGGUGCAUUGAUGUUUUUGGUAUGAUAUGGUUCGGAAAUAUUCAGGUUCAAAAUUUGAGAAUACUGUAAAAUUGAAAAAUAUAUAUUUAAAAAACAAAUAAUAUCACAAUAGUUUUUAAUUCAAGCGUUGUUCUAAGCAGAGCGCUAUCGGGAUAAUAAAAUGCACGAAUGUCGUUGUAGGGAUUCGAACCCAUGACCUAUAAAUGAUUUCACAACGGUUAUUUUCUUUACCCGUUGUUAUAAGUAGCACACUACCUAACUUAUAACCACGGUCACCCGCAUGUUAUGGAAACCAACAUACAUACAAUUACACACUACCUAACAGCGAACGUGAAAUCGUCAUUAUAUGUGCUUUGUAACCGCCAUUAUAUGUGUUUUAUGUAGUAGUGAGUCAUGUUAACACAUCAUUCAAACAUAAUUAACUGAGCAUAACAGUACUCCAAACAUCCACAAAAGUCGUAAGAAUCAAAAUCUGCAAUUUAACAUUAUCAAAACAAACAUCUGCUUACUGUAGACUCAUGAUGGGUUACCCGUCAUGAUUGUGAUACCUGUCACUAACCUCAACUCUUUAGAACAUCACUCAUGUGACGACCGACUUGAAGACAAGCUUGGGCAGCAUGACGGGUUACCUGUCACUAGCGUAACCCCCGUCAGCAUCCCGAAACCUGCAGAAUUUUGUCUUCUUUAAUGGAGUUCACUGCAGAACUCCUAUUUCUCAUCCCAGACAUACAAAUCGACCAUAAAAUGUUACGUAUAUAUUAUAUAUUCAUCAAUAACAUCCACUUGCAUCAAAUUAACACUUUUAAUUCAUGGUUUUCAUAAAAUCAUAUUAUUUCCAAAGUCUUCAAAAUAACAACAAUGGUAAAUACAUGUUAACUCCUCAAAAAAGAAUUUGUCACACAUCAUAGCAUACGAAUUUCAUCACCAAUCACCAUCACAUACAGCAAAUCAAUUACAAAUAACAGAAUUAUGUAAAAAUUUCAAAGCCUAUUGGAGGUUAAGGACUUCUCAAUUCUACCCCUCAUGCAUAUACCCAUCAUUGAGAUAGUUCUUUCCCUUACCUGGUUAUCCUAGCAACAGUGCAAAAAUUCUGAUUUUUAUUAUCUAAACUUCUCCAAGUUCUAAGCUUUCUCUUGCACUUUCUCUAAAUUAUGGUUAUGCAUACUGACAAAACUCCAAAAAACUAGGUUAUGCUCUAAUUCAUAUCAUUAUGGUAAAUAAUAUUAAACUCAUAAUUUUGGUCCAACUCUUAUUCCUCUUACUCCCUCAUCUCUUCUAUUCUUCAUAAAUCAUAUUUUGGCCCCAAACUCUCUAUUUUCUAUUAAAUUAAACAAAUCUAAUAAAAUAUUAUUAUUUUAAUUAUUAAAACAACACUAAUAAUUUACUCAAACUCUACUAGCCUCUAAAUACUCUCCACACUCGCACCUCAAUGUUAUACCCACCCACACCUUAUUUAUUUAAUUAAUAUUAACCAAAUAAUCAAAUAAAUACAUAAAAAUGUUAAUAAAUCAUAUAAUUCAAUAAAUCAAAAAUUGGGGUGUUACACAAACGAUGUCCUCUUUGACCUAGUCUAAAAUAGUUCCCUCAACAUAUUUCAGGAAAUGUGGAUAUAUAGCACACACCCUUCUGAAAUGUAUUAUGAAUUCAACAUAUAAUUCUUCUAUGGAAGAAUUUAUUAUACCAUUUGAUCAGAAAAAUAACAAGUGUACUAUUUUUCCUUUUGUAGUAAUAAAGGGGAAAUUCCCCAAAUGUCGAUCUCAAGGACUGCAAGUGAAUAUCGAGUUCAAAUCAUCGUUCAAUUAAACAAAAACUAGUGUUCGGGUUUUUGAAUUCAAACUUAUAAAGUAAAGGAAAAUAAAAUAAUACUGUAAAAUAAGGGUUUGCAAGGGAAGAGGGACAAUGUCAGGGAAGGUGUAUAAUUUGCCCAUGUUACAAUUCUGAGUCACUAUUGCAUAAACAAAUAUCAAUUACUACCAAUUCUCAAGGGUAUUUUCUCUGAAGCCCUUGGUGAGAAACCCUUUAAUCAUUCAACCCUAAUUUCUAUGUCCAUAGGAAAUUAUCGGUGAAAUUAAGCCUUAUUAUAUAAAGAAUGUUGUGGUUCAUACAGGGUUUCCCUAGUCCUAGGUGAUAUCUAUUGCAGAGUAAUCUUAUGAAAACCUUAUCAAUGAUGGUCCAACCUAAUUGAUAACCAUACAACAAUCUCGAUUGAUCCGAAAGAGAAAGCAUUAAACACAUCAAAAGAUUACCGUUAAAAUAAUAUUAUCAAUGCAAUCGUAAACUCAAAGCCAUUACAGAUCUAAAUCAGGGACACCCCCUAUCAUUUGAGGGUUUAGCUACUUAUAUUGUUCAAAACAGAUUGAAGAUAAAAUAUACACAUUACAAGUAAUUGGAUGACUUGGAUCUUCAAUUGCUUCCGCUCAUGAAAAUCUUCCGCUCUUCGAAUUCCUUGAUCUCUGUAAAUCUCGACUGUAUGAUAAUUCUCUAUGCUUUGUGUUCUCCUCUUUCCAAAGUGUCUUAUUCUCUCGUAGAAACUAUCCUAAAAUAGUGAAAAAUCUCUUGGAAAUGGUUGGAAAUCCUCAAAACGUCCCUGCUGCUCAAGCCCGCGUAAAAAGCCAAAAAAAUGGAAUAUUUUGUGCCUGGGCUAACAUGGGUGGCCGUGUCAGCUCCCUGCCUUAUCCAUCUCUCUUGACAUGUCCCAAGUAACCUGACACGGGUCGUGUCAGCUGAUACGGGUGGCCAUGUCAGGGUCCUGUCUUGGCUAUUUCUUGUUCUUAAUUUUUCUUCCUCCUGACACAGACCGUGUCAAAUGACACGAGUGGCUAUGUCAGGCCUCUUAUACUGAAAAAUAUCCUUUCCUUGAACGCCUGACCCUUCCAGUUUCUUGCAUUGUGUCUGUUGGAUCUUCUACGUGGACCUGGAGGGCAUAAACAUAGACAACCAAAGCAUAAAAUCCCGAAAACACAAAAUAAAAUAAAAUAUUUAUAAAAUGCUUAAAUAACUUACGAAAAUGAAAACUAACUCAAAAGGUACCAUAAUGCGCACAAAGUAUUCCAGAAUCCUUGGUUUCUUGUCGAAUAAGUAAUGAAAACAUAGUGAAAAUGGUGACCGAUCACAACCCCAAACUUAGCUCAUUGCUUGUGAUCAAGUAAUGUUCUACACGACAAAGUGUGUCACUUCCCAAAAUUGAAUUCUUACCACAAUACUGCUCAGAUAUUUCUCCAACGCCUUCAUUCUCCCUUUCAUAGUCCUUACUUUUCCUAAUGAGUUUUUAGCUACACUUCCAUAUUGAUGUAUCUCUUCACUUGUCAGCUUAUAUCACACUCUCACCAAGUCUCUUCGGGUUAAAGUGUUUACACUAACAUUUCAGAAUAUGCAAUAUCAACUCAUAAAUUUGAAUAGUUUCUCCUUUCGUAUAAAUUAUACACAACACACACUUUUUGAGGUCUUUUGGGUUGUAACAGGGCUUGAGUUACGGCGGGGUAAAUACAAACAAAAAGGAAAAUAAGUGGUUUGGGUUCAGAGUCAAUGUCAUUAUUCUUUUCACUAUGUUUGUUCUACAUCUCAUUUCCAAUUAUUUUCUUUUUCAGUUUGUAUUGCUCAGUUCUUUUUUUUUCUCUUCUCUUUUUUUUUUUUUAAAACUGAGUGUUUCUCAUUCGACGAGUGCUUUUCUUGUACCAUCGAAGAAUUUUUUUCCUGUUGUUUUCCUUUUUGUUUCGAUGGUUAUUUUUCUAAAAAAAAAUCCGCACUCACCUUACUUUCAGAUAAUUAUGGGUGUAAGACCCCAAUUUGGACCCUAAGAUCCCUCAUGCUAUCUCAUCAUAUGCAUUAGCAUUAGGAUCACAACUUGACAUCCUCCUUACCCCUAAUUCAUUAGAGUUUGCAUUAUGAAAGAUCAUCAAGCACCAUGUGAUUGUAUCAUAUUUUGUUUUCUUAUCAUUUUCUAACCAAAAUACCAAAAAAUAUGUAUUUGUAUAGUUUAACUCUUUUGUAGGUAGUGCACAUGCUCAUCUAUGCUCUGUCAAGCUUACAUCUAGAGUUUAAGACCCUCAAUGUAAGGAGCUCAAUCAAGAUUUGAUUUACUAUGGCUCAAAGUAUCAUAUAUGAAUCCCCAUGAUCUUCACAUUUUAUUUUGAUCAAGAAACCAUCAAGAGUUUGGAGUUGGUUUACCUUGGAAACCCUAAGUCAUAUGGGUAUCUUGUAUGACUUCUUCAACAAGUUUCUUCACCAAUCGAUCAAAUAUUUCAAAGUAUGCUUCAAAUUUCAUCAUCUUAUACAUAUAUUAUCCUCCAAUGAGUCCCAAAAGUAAAGAUAAGGUCAAGCUAGCAAGUUGGUUCAUGGUGGUUGACCCUAUCUUCUACAAUCAAAACUAGGGGUCCCUAGACCCUAUCUUCUACAAUUUUUGUCAUAUGAAAAUUAUUCCAAGAUAAAAGUUACUAGAAAUGACAUUCUAAACAACUUUCAUGUUUAGGUCUAAAGCUAGUUUUGCUUGAAAAGUCAUUUUUUAUGGUGAAAGAUUAUAGGUCAUUUUGUCUAAACCCUAAUUUGGAGGCCAACUUCCCAAGAUCAUAACUUACUCAAUUUUUAUGAGAUGAAACCCAUUCAAGUUGCAUGAUCAAAUUAAAGAUGUAUAAUUCAACUUUUAUGUUUGGAGUAAUAGAAAUUUCAAAUUUUAAAUGCAUGUGAUAUGAGGAGAAAUUAUAGGUCAUUUUGGACCAAUACCAUUGAACAAGUGAUUUUCCUCAACUUCUAAAAUGCAUAACUCUUUCAUACUAAAUACAAAUGAGGUCAAAUUUGUGACUAAUUUUAAGGACUCUGAGAGAGUUACAACUUUGACGAAGGAACUUUUCUCAUUUGAAGUCCAUAGAAAAAGUUACCCAAGGUGGAAGAAGUGAACAUAUGGCUUGACACUUAGAAAUUGUUUUGAUAUGUUUGAUUUUCCAAACUUCCACCUCAAAGUUCAUCAUGAUCCAAACUUCAAAUGAAAAAGUGUUCAACAUGAAAGUUGUUCCUCUUGAUCCAACCUUUCCAAAAAGUCUAAUUUCAUCUCAUUUAGACAAAGUAUGAGUGACUUGCGCAUGGCUUAAAGUUGAAUCACCAUCUGGCAUAAUUGAACUUCCAUCUGCUUCCAUACACAAAUGCAUGGCUUGCUAACAUGACUUCAGCAAUGCUCACACAUGAUUUUGGACCUGAAUGAAUCAUUACAUGGUCCUAUCACACGCCCAUGCAUCCAUGCAAAGUGAAGUUGCUAUUUUUGAAAUUUUGAAACAAGUGUGCAAAUAACAAUGCAUUGGCUAUAAAUAAAAGCUCAUUCACUCAGAAUUGAGGACCUUGGCGUGCCAGCUUUGAAUCCCUAACCCUAAACACCUUCAUUCAGAGGAUAACCUUGAGGAUUUCCAUUGGAAAUCGAGUUUGAAUCUCCACUGUUUUGAGAUUCAAAUCUCCAAGAGUCCUGCUUCUUCCUUGAUAAAUUCCACUCCAUCAAGCAUCCAGAGCAAGGCUAAGCAUAAUUGAGAGCAAGAUCGUGGCCAUCUGAACCUGCAGUGAAGGUGAUUUUCUCAAUUUUUCAUCUCUUCGAUUCUCACUCAAUUCUACAUAAUUCUUCUUGAUUUAUAGUUGUCUGAAGUCCUACCAAUGUAGGCAAGAAGAUUGAGUUGCUUUGAGGUCAAAUCGAAGCAACUCAGAUCAUGAUCCUCAAAAUUCAACUCCCAGUAUCUUUCAAUAUACUUGGAGUUAGAUGAAAUUGAGGCCAUAUUCGAGCUCCUGAGCAUUUCUACUUUAAAUUCAUGUCCUCCUUUUUUAUUUUGGUGAUGGUUGAAGGUGGACCAGUCCGGUGAGGUCCACCGGAGAAGAAGAUCGAAGUUGUAGCUCCGGCGGUAUGUUGGCACGCUUCUAAACCACACGAUCCUUCUAAUUUGUUUUAAUUUGGGGUGUCCAAAGUGAUUACCACGCGUGUGGAAUAUUUGACUUGGUAUAUGGUGGAAUGCCCGCUCAGAUCCACUUGAUCAACCACCUCAAUUAAUGAGGGAGACCAAAUGGUCCACAUAUUUUAGCAUUUUCUGAUUUUUAGUUUAAUUGCUUUAUUUUCAUUCAUUCAUAUUAAUUUUAAUAUUGAUCCAAAAAAUAUGAGACUUUCACUUAAAAUUUUCAAAUAAAUUCCUCUUUCAUUUUCUGAAUUAAAAUUAUUUUUUGGAUAAUUAUUAAUAUUUUUCAUGAUUUAAUUGUUUUAGUGGAUAUUUUUAAUUGUUUAAAAAUACUUUUAAGUUUCCAAAAAUGAUGAAAUUUUUUCUCCAAGGUCCUUUGACCUUGUUUGACCUACGAUAAAUCUCAUGGCCAUUUAUUUGGUGUUUUGAUGAGGUUUUAGGAUUUUGACCAACCAUAAUUUAAUUUAAUGCAUUUUUUAAUUGUUUAAUUGCGAAUAAAUUGUGUUGAGCUAUUUGUGUUGACUUGUUGAGUUUGACUAUUGUUGUUGGGUCUUGGUCAAGGUUGAUUUGACUUUGUUUAGUUAAGAUCAUUAAAUUUAGGGGAUUGAUGAAAUGUACAUUUCAUCUCCCAAAAUGAAUGAAUGAUUUUAAUUUGAUAAAAGUCCUCCUUUGACCAAUUUGUGUUGAUUCCAUUUCCCCUCCCUCUUCAUCCCAAUCCUAUUCUAUUCCCACUCAUUUCUUUGACCUAUGAUAUCUCAAUAUCCUAAGGCUAGUUGAUUGCAAAUUCAACAUAAGUAUGGAUGAGUUUAGGUCCACCCCUUUUGCCAUUUUCUUUUAAGUGUGGUAUGUUUUAGGAGUGUGGUUCAUAAUACCAUAUCUCUAACAUGCAUUAACACUAAAAUUUCUAUUAUGUGGAAACUUGGCUUUUUUUUUCCUUCCUUUGGAAGAUGUCUUGGUUCAAGGAUCCAUGCUUGUGAAUAGAGGGUUGAGUGUUCUCCAAAGAAUGACUUGAACAUUGAAAAGCAAAAAAGCAAUACUAACUUCUAAUCAACUAACAUUUAAUUUCAAGCACUUUACUUUUAUGCACUUUAAAUUCAAGUCUUUAUUCAUUUGCCAUUAUUCAUACCAUUUAACUUGUUUAUUUUAAUGUCAUUUUCACUUUGCUCACUUGAGCUUUAUUUUGUGAUUAUAUUGUGAUUGUAUAUAUUUGUUAGUGUAUUGUGUUUGGUUUGGUGGUCUUUUGACCUUAAUGUACAUAAUAACAACAAAAACUCUAAAAAAGAUUUGUGUGGACUCUUGGUUUUGAUCUGAGACAUUGGACUUAGAAUUAGGCAACACUCCCUAUGCAAAAGGACUUGGCCAAUGCUAACUUUUCUAAACCAAGUGCUUGUGAAUUGAAGUUUCAUCUGAAGCAAGUAUUGAGAGUCCAUUUGAGUUCAUCUGCUACAUGGUCUUAUUGAAGCUGUUACUUUGAACCUGUGUCUAAUGCCUAUCUCUGAAUCUUCUGAUGCAUGGAAAAUUAUGAAGAAGAUCAUGAAGUUGCUAAGCUUGGACGUGCCUAUCUUUAUUUGAUGCCUUGCUCUUCACCUUGCUAUUUGUGUAUUGAUAUUGCUUGAUUCAAAAGUCCAAGGGAAAUUUGGGUUUCUAUAUGACAUUCUUAUCUAUUGGACUGCAACCCAUUGGUCAAAUCUUUUCAACUCUUAACUUUUAAAUUCUUCCUUAGGAUUAGUCUUUUCAUCUCCUCCCACUUCUUUAAUUUCAAAUCUCUCGCUCCUUUUAAAAAUCUUCUUUGCUUGUGUUUUCUAAACCUUGACUUUAUUGCAAAUUAGAAACUUUGGGCUUAUGCCAUUGCAUUUUUAAAACUUAUUUUUCUUAAUCAAACUUGUAAAUGAAUCUAACUAUAUUGACUUAAAAUUUCAAAAAAAUACAAAAAGAACUAACACUCAUUCAAACCUUUUUAGGCCUUUUGUGCCUUUAUUAAACUUAAUUUUUUGUUAAAAGCAAUGCACUCACUUUGAAAUUGAUACCACGAACUACGAGGUUUUGAUCCCUCAUCUUUAUGUUGGUACGUAAGCACAAGUUCGAAGGUCUUGUCAAACACAAAAAUAUAAUCAAUGAAUCCUUUUCUAAUCCCUCCACUCUAUUUAUUGCAAACAUCAUUUUGUACAAAAAUACAUAUGCAUACAAAAAGGACUCCCUAGAAGUACCUAGGACACUUUGAGUGCUAACACCUUCCCUCUGUGUAACCAACCCCCUUACCUGUAAUCUAUGGCAUUUUAUUAGUUUUGAUUUGAAAACUUCUUAUCUAUGGGUUUUGUUUGUACUUUUCCCUUUUCCCUUUGAAACAAUAAAAGCACGGUGGGGACUCUGGUUUUGUGCUUGGUGAUCUCUGAGUGGUGAGAUAAGUUUUAACCCGAACUUGAGUGCAAUUAAGAUAGGAAGAUGGUAUAAUCAUGUUCGACUUAUGUGGAGUAGUCCUUAACAAGUUGGCUUGAGACCCAUCUACUCAGUGGAGACCCUUUUGGAGUUAUGAUGUCACACAAGUUAUUUGUGGUUAGGCAUUACUUUCUCUGAUUUGGGGUCCGAGAAGUUGAGGACCAUAGAACAUUUAACCCCUCUUGGCCUAUUUAGGACGUAGUGCAGAGACUGUUCAAGUGUAGACUUGAUAACAGUUGUUACACGAUACUACACUCAGACGAGUUUCUCUUUAGAACAUUAUGGGUUGAUGAGUCAGUCAUCCUAACCUGUAAUAUCCGAUAGAUGGAAUGAAGACUCUGGGAACUUUUUAGAACAUGAUCUACAGGUUUUAUCCUCAGUACACUCCUUUGGGAUGGUUCUUAACCAGGCUCCAUGCUUGUGACUCACAACAAACCCUUGAUUCUUGGUUGAUCCAAUCAAGUCUUGUCAAUAUCAAUGGAACUUGGGUGUUGAUAAGGUGAAAACCAUAAUCCAGCAAAAUGGAUGAUUGAUCUUGACAAUGAAUUGAUUCAUCCAUUGACCUUUGUUUGUUUGCCUUGUGUGUGAUCCGUUAUUUGUGACUGUUGCAUUCAUGCAUUCAUGCGCAUCAUAACAUUAAUCACACGAAAAAUAACAUCAAGGAACUGAGGUUUUAUUUGCAAAUAUUUUCAGUCCAUGGAUUGUGGACGAAGGAACACUAAAAAGUACAUUUUCAGAUGUCCAGAUUUGAAAGAGUUAAGGAAGCUAUCAUCUUUUGUAUUGGAUCCCUUGGACAUCAAACAAUGUCAUGUGAAGCUUCUAUAUGUGUUAUCUGUUGAUGUGGUCGAAGGACUCUUAAGUGUUUUGGUUCAGUUAUAUGAUCCUCUCUACCAUUACUUCACUUUUCCUGAUUAUUAGCUUGUGCCUACGUUGGAGAAGUAUGUCCAUCUCUUGGGAAUACCUGUUUCUGACAAAGUGCCUUUUAGUGGAUUGGAAGAGAUUCCCAGAUAUCAUAUUAUAGCUAAAACUCUUCAUCUGAAGAAGUCUGAGAUUUAGGCUCAUUGGGUGAAGAAAGGAGCAAAUGUUUGGAUUGACUUCUGAGUUCCUCAUCAAGGAAGCUACUACCUUUGCUCAAGCUGGUAGCAUGGAUGCUUUUGAAGCUAUCUUUGUGUUGCUCAUCUAUGGCUUAUCUUUGUUCCAUAACAUUGACAGUUUUGUUGAUGUUAAUGCCAUUAGAAUCUUCUUGAUUGGGAAUCAUGUGCCUACUUUGUUGGGUGAUAUGUAUUUCUCUUUGCAUUUAAGGAAUUCUAAGGGUGGUGGAACUAUUUUCUGUUGUGUUCCUCUUCUGUACAAGUGGUUUAUUUUGCACUUGCCUCAGACACCUGCUUUUGUGGAGAACAAAUAAUGUCUACGGUGGUCUCAAAGACUUAUGUCUCUCACUAAUGAUGAUAUCGUUUGGUAUGACUCUUCAUUGGGUAGUUUGGAGAUUAUUGAUAGUUGUGGUGAAUUCUCUAAUGUGCCUCUCGGUGGUUUAAUCCAACAAUAACACCAAGAACCUGAAAUACAUGCAGCAAAUGAUACCUAACAGUAAAAUCAAACCAAAUGUAAAAUAGUAAAAAAUGGGAAAUAAUAAAAUAAAAUAAAAAACAUAAAACAAAAAGCAUAAUAAAACCUCCCCUACAAUUGAACUAAACAGUUGGCCUAAAUGUUUUAGAACAAGAUAGAAGGAGGGUGACUCACAGUGCCUUACUGAGGAGGCUGGGGAGGAAAGUGCAACAUCAAUUGUCACAUCAUCAGGUUCAUCUCAUCCCAAACCGCCCCUUGCCGAGCCUUCUCGAUACCUUGUCUUGAUUGCUCGGUCCUAAGGUCACCGAGCUCGGUUUGUACCUAUGUGCACUGUAUGUGAUUCAUGGAUAAUGACCCAGUGCCCUGAUAUAAUGGCUCUUGAGGCGGGGGUACAAUCGGCUCCUGAUGCUGCUCUCCUUCAUUCAUCUAUUCACCUACAACUUGUUCACAUGUAACCAUAUUUUCAGCAUCGUAGCGUUCCUCUGUAUCAGGGUCAACGCUCACAUACAACUAAUCAUGUGCAAAACCUCCACUAGGGUGUCUUCAAGCAAAACCGCAUGAUAUCCAAAAGGUUCAUAUUCCUCUUUUAUGGAUAAGAACAAAGUAGUAAUCAUGUGCAACAUAAAUCAUACCUUGUUGGAUGAGAGUUGCCAUAUCAAUUUUUUUCUUACCUGCCACUAGGGUGUCUUCAAGCAAAACCACAUGAUACCCAAAAUGUUCAGCAAAUUGGGUAAUCAUGCCCCCAACAGAAAUACCACCGGAAUCUUCCCGGCCAACUCUCCCCAAGUAAUCACCUGCAAAGGCAACAAUAUUGAUGGCCGGAUUUUGUGCCAUCGAGUAUAGGAAGAACAAAUCUGGUUGAGUUAUCACGCCCGUACUAUCACCCCGUCCAAACAGACUGUACGCCAGAUCUUUUGAGACAUAGCGGAAGCACGGAUUCUGGAUGCCAGAGGCUUUUGCACCUUUUGAGGUGUAAUCAGUCCUCCUAGUAAUGGCAGUCUAGAAAUCUUGUAGAGAAAACCCGUCAGGAACCGCACCAGGUUCGUACAGUUGGAGUCGGAGAAUACCGGCCAACUCCUCAAUAGAAAGCUCAUGAUAAUUAUUAAAAAGGCGGAAUCAGAGAGUACCAUAAUAGUACCUCAUCGUGUUAAUCCACCAUUUCUCCAGUUGGAAUUCGAGUGUGCUAAAAAAUUCGAGCGUGAUGCGCUCAUAGGUCGGCACUUCAAGGCUCAUGAAUGCCAAUAUACCCAGCAAAUGGAACAUCAUGUCAACUUCAAUUUUUAGGCCUAUAUCAUGAAGGGUCUGUUUGCACAUAUACUUGGUGGGGGUUAGCUUCCACUUUCUGUGAAUGACAUACCGUUGCUCCUGCUCCGGAUUGUCGAAGACAAUGUUAUGCGGGUUCGGAUUACGGCUGUUCCUUUUUAGUGGCCUCGAGGUCUCAGUCAUUUAUUGCUUCCCUUGAAUAAUCCUUCUUGGGGGCAUUUUUAUACCUGCAAAAAGGAAGAGAAAUUUGAAAUUGGAAUUAAAGAAAACGGACACCAUGGGUGUGAUGAGGGCGAAAAAUGGAGAAGGAUUCGUGAAAGGAGUUUGUGAUUUGGGUUUGUUGUGGUGGUAAAGGAGGAAGAUUUUUGGUGGGGUGUUAAUGUAAGGUCAAGGUUUUUUUAGAGAGAGAUGGUGGAGAAGAUGAGAUUAGUGAGAGAUGAUGAGUGGAAAGUGAAUCACAUCAGAUUUUUGGGAAGGGUUAAGUGGGUGUAAUGAAUAGGUAUUGGGUUUUAAUGAUGUGUGGGGCCACACAAAGUCUAACUUUUUUCAAUAUUUUUCAAAUCUGUAGGCCUGACACGAGCCAUAUAUGCUGACACGAGCCGUAUAUGCUGACACGGGCGGCCGUGUCAGGCCAUUGUGUAUCCAACUAUCAAGGGCGUGGUCUUCAGUGGUCUUGACACGGGCCGUGUCAGGCUUCUGCCAAUGUUGAUUUCAUUCAUUCCUUUAGUGCUCUUGACACGGGCCAUGUCAGCUGACAUGGAGGGCCGUGUCAGGAUGCUGUGAUUCUCAAUUUGCAGCCCUUUGUCCUAGCCCUGACAUGGGUCGUGUCAGAUGACACAGGCGGCCGUGUCAGAUGGCACGGGCGGCCGUGUCAGGCUAUUAGUUUCUCCUCAAGACAUUUUUCUCUCUCUUAGUUUCAAAUACGGUUUUCCUCGCGGUACAACUCCCGCUUUUAUGUGAGUACCUUCUCCCUUUUAUAUGCAAGGCACUAUGCAGACCUAAAAUAACAAACAAACACAAACAAUAAUUAGAAACAAAAAUGUGCGGGUUGCCACUCACGAAGCGCUUAGUUUAACGUCACAUGGCUCGACGAUUUACCAUACUAUCCGUGUGAAUAAACAUUUUUUACCAGGCCAGUUCCUUGUCCUUGAGGAUAAGGCUUCUGCUUAUUUCCAUUUGCGUUUGGACUGGAACUAGGAGUUGGAGUUGCUAAUGGAGGUGUUGAUACUUGAGAAGGCCCUUUUGCAUCUUUUUAUGAUGUUGGUACGAUACUUUGCCUUCUCACCUCUGUCCUGAUGAAGCCUACUUGAUAGUGAUGUUCUUUUUCUACCUUAAGAUCCCUAUUUUCAAUAGCAUUUAAUGUUAUUUAUUUAUCAUAAACUUUUAAGGUUAUCGUGCCCUUGUCCAUGUCGAGAUUGCAUCGACUUGUCUGCAUGAAAGGUCAACCAAGAAUGAUGGGUGUCUCUUCAUCUUUAGGUAUGUCUAGGAUCACAAAAUCAAUAGGGAAACUCAAGUCCUCUAUUGUCACCAGUACGUCUUAUGCUAUACCAUAUGCAUCCUUUCCCGAGUGAUCCGUAAACUUCAGAUUUGUCUUUGUAUCACUGACAUUUUUAAUACCGAACUUGUGAUAUAUUGAUAAUGGCAUCAGACUCACACUAGCUCCAUAAUCAAUUAGUACCUUUUUUAAAUUUCUCUCUUUAAUUUUUCAUGAUACUGUUACCGUUCCAGGGUCCUUCUGUUUGUUUGGAAUUUUCUGCCCUAGUGAAUUUGCACUACAUUUUUCUUUCAAGGCUACCGGUUCUUCUAUUAUUGGUUUCUUUUCGGCCAUUACCUCUUCCAUGAAUUUUUUGUACAUGGGCAUUCGCUCGAGUGCUUCAAACAAAGACAUAUGACUCUCUAUCUUUUUGAACAUUGUCAUGAAUUUCUCAUAGUAUGACUCGCUUGGAUCCUUCUUUGUCAUUCUCUGAGGGUAGGGUAGCUUAAUCACCGGUUUAAUAUCCUUUUUAUUUUUCUCUUCAGUUGGCUUUCCAGGUGGUAUAACUUUUUCAUCUUUAGUGGCCCUCUCCUUUUUCGUCGUGACAGUAUUAACAUUCUCAUGAUUUCUUAAAUUUUGAACUGUUUCACUUGGUAAGGAACCUAUUGUUCAAGAACUGGCUAUUUGUUGUGCAAUCUGACCUAACUGAACUUCAAGAUUUUUUAUAGAGGAAAUGGUGUUUUUAUGAUUGUUUCUAGUCUCUUCUUGGAAUUUCAUAUAUUUAGUGGUCAUGUUUUCAAUGGAAAUCUCCCAACCUGCUUUCUUUGGAGCUUGUUGUUGUUGCUGUUGUUGAUAUUAAGUCUGAUAUUGACCUUGACCCUAUUGUGGAAAAUUGCCUAUCUGAUCUUUCUAUGAGAAGUUUGGAUGAUUCUUCCAACGUGGAUUGUAAGUGUUGGAGCAGGGGUUAUUAUGCUUUAAAAAAUUUGUCUCUUCAAUUUGUUUAGGGGGUGGCAAAGCAAUACACAGUAUGGUGCGGUCCAUUACAGAUUUCACAAGUGAUGGUCUGAGCAAGUUGAACUUGAGCUACCUAUUGGGUACUUAUGUUCAUAGCUUUCAAUUUCUUUUCCACUUCAGCAACUACUAGUAUUUUCCAACUAGUUUUUUUUUAGUUUUCAGCUUCAGAUCAAUCACUCUAUCAAGUUUACUAGUACACCUAUCAUAUAAUUCCAUAUGUUGAUUGGCAGCUAUCGCUUCAAUAAUCUUUUUAAUACCAGUGGCUGUUGAGAAAUUUGUUGAGCCACCAACUGCUGUAUCAAUCAACUGUUUUGUCUUUAGUUUCAGCCCGUUAACAAACAUCUGCAUUUGUUCAGUCUAAUCCAUAUUAUGAGUUGGGCAAGCUACUAAGACCCUUUUGAAUCUUUUGUAGGCAUCUCCCAAAGACUCACCUCCUUCUGUUUGAAGUUCAAUAUUUCAUACAUUUUUCUCAGAAAUACCGAUGCUGAAAAAUACUCAUUUAAGAAAGAAGUUUCCAUCUCUUCCCAUGAUGUAAUGCUGCCUGCUGGGAGAGAAUAAAACCAUUCUUCCGCCUCUUCAGCUAAAGUAAACGAGAACAUUCUUAAUUUCUUUGCUUCGUCAGUAUGACCAUCAAUUUUCAACGUAGUACUCAUGGUCAGAAAUCUCUGCAAGUGCUUGUUUGCAUCUUCAUUAGCAUUUCCUGUGAAAGAUUUUCUUUCAACUUGAUUGAUUGUGCUAGGAUGCAGUUGAAAAUUAGUCACAUUCACCGGUUGGUUGACAAUUGUUAAUCUACCACCCAGUGCAUUUGCGCCUCCAUAAUCACCAAGGAGUCUCUAUGGAGGUGGAGGUGGAAAUGGAGGAACUUCAGCCAUAGUUUCUUUUUCUGAAUCUGAAUAUGAGUGAUCAGAGGGAACUUCUUCUUUGGAAUUCAAUCUAGCGUGUCUGAGUCUCCAGUGAAGGGUUCUCUCGAUUUCUGCGUCUAAAAGAAAUUCAGUUGAGGGAUUUCCUCGCAUACACAAAUUAGUGAAUGAAAAUAUAUAAAUGACAGAAAAAUAAUUUUUUUGCAGAGCAACAAAAUUUUAAUUGAACUAAAAUUAAACUCUAUAUUUUGGCAAUCCCCGGCAACGAGGCCAAAAACUUGAUCUGAAAAAUAGCAAGUGUACUAUUUUUCCUUUUGUAGUAAUAAAGGGGAAAUUCCCUGAAUGUCGAUCUCAAGGACUGCAAGUGAAUAUCAAGUUCAAUUCAUCGUUCAAUUAAACAAAAACUAGAGUUGGGGGUUUUGAAUUCAAACUUAUAAAAAUAAAGGCAAAUAAAAUAAUACUGUAAAAUAAGAGUUUGGAAGGGAAGAUGAAUAAUAUUAGGGAAGGUGUAUAAUUUUCCCCUGUAACAAUUCUGAGUUACUAUUGCAUCAACAAAUAUCAAUUACUACCAAUUCUCAAGUUUAUUUUCUCCCAAUCCCUUGGUGAUAAAACCUUUAAUCAUUCAACCCUAAUUUCUAUGUCCAUAGGAAAUUAUCGGUGAAAUUAAGCCUUAUUAUAUCAAUAAUGCUCUGAUUCAUACAGGGUGUCCCUAGUCCUAGGUGAUAUCUACUGCAGAGUAAUCUUAUGAAAACCUUACCAAUGGAGGUCUAGCUUAAUUAAUAACCAUACAAAAAUCUCGAUUGGUCCGAAAGAUAAAACAUUAAACACAUUAAAAGAUUACCGUAAAAAUAAUAUUAUCAAUGCAAUCGUAAAAUCAAAGUCAUUAUAGAUCUAAAUCAGGGACACCCCCUAGCACUGGGGGGUUUCGCUACUCAUAUUGUUCAAAAGAGAUCCAAGAUGAAAAAUACACAUUACAAGUAAUUGGACGACUUGGAUCUUCAAUUGCUUCUGCUCAUGAAAAUCUUUCACUCUCCGAAUUCCUUAUUCUCUGUAAUUCUCGAUCGUUUGACAAUUCUCAAUGCUUUGUGUUCUGCUCGUUCCAAAGUGUCUUCUUCUCUCGUAGAAAAUCUCCUAAAAUAGUGAAAAAUCACUUGGCAAAGGUUAGAAAUCCCCAAAACGUCCCUGCUACUCAAGCCCGGGUAAAAAGCCCAAAAAUUGGAAGAUUUUGUGCCUAGGCUGACACGGCCCGUGUCAGCUCCCUGCCUUAUCCAUCUCUCCUGACAUUUCCCAGGUGACCUGACAAUGGCUGUGUCAACUGACACGGGCCGUGUCAACUGACACGGGUGGCCGUGUCAUACCCCUAUCUUGGUUAUUUCUUGUUCUUAAUUUGCCUUCCUUCUGACACAGCCCAUGUCAGGUGACACGUUUGGCCGUGUCAGGCCUCCUGUAUUGAAAAAUAUUUUUUCCUCAAACACCAGACCCUUCCACUUUCUUGCAUUGAGUCAGUUGGAUCUUCUACAUGGACCUGGAGGGCAUAAACACAGACAACCAAAGCAUAAAAUCCCGAAAACACAAAAUAAAACUAAAAUUGAUAAAAUGCUUAAAUAACUUACAAAAAUGAAAACUAACUCAAAAGGUACCAUAAUGCACACAAAGUACUCUAUAAUCCUUGGUUUCUUGUCGAAUAAGUAAUGAAAACAUAGUGAAAAUGGUGACCGAUCACCAUUCCAUGCAUCCAUUAUCUUUUCCACCACGACACCUCGUUUGACGAUUUUUCCGCCCUCACCUUUGAUGUGUUUAGUGCCAACCACAGGUUGACUUUUCACAUUUUUGGUUAUGUGAUACUUACAAAGUAAUUCAGAUGAUGUAGGAAACAUUGUUGCAUCUGAAUUCAUCAGUGCAGUGUUGUGAUCGAUGGUUAUAACAAGUGGCAUAUUUUCUUGGUCCUUCAAAUAAUCUUGCACAUUUACAAAGCCCGUGUAAUGUUUUCCUCGUUUUUGGAUUUCAAAAAUGCAAAAUCGAAUGAAUAAGUCAUCUCCGUAGAAGUAGCACCAACAAUUUCUAAGAGUGGAAGUAUAUACUUGUUUGUUUUAUAUGUCAACUUAAUUGUGAGCACAGUGGGAAAGGUGUGUUGAACAACUUGACAGAAUCAGGAUGACUCCAAAAUCUAUCUUGAACAAUGACUUUAUCCUCACAAUAUCUGAACCUCGAAACAUAGUUGCCAUCAUCCAAAACCUCCAAGAGUUGUUACAUAUCAGAUCUUGGUCAUCUUACUUCCUUUUGUCUCAAGCACACACGUUGUAUAUUUGUGAUAUUUGAAACAUUUAGAGGUCUUUUCUAUUUUAAAGAGGCGAGUAUGUUUUUCAGAGCCACCAUGUUUAAUGUCAUGUCCGAAACAAGUUCAGUCUCCUCCGACACAAGGCAAAAUACAAUGGGAUGAUUGGCUAGCUUGUCACUGAGUUGUUACUUAAAUCAUUUGCAUGAAUAGCAAACCCAUAAAUGAGUUCAGGGGGUACUUCGGAGAUGCAUCUUUGGAUACACCCAAAUGCGAAGAUGCAUGUCCAAACUAUUUUUUAAAAAAUUGGAGCGAAACUUAGAAAAGAGAAGAUAAACGUGAUUUUGAAUGCGUCAGAAAAUGCAUCUCCAUAUGUUUGGGGGUAUUUUUAAAUAUUUAAGAAUGUGGGAGGCACCACCGAGGAAGGAAAGAGUAUCCCUUACAAAAAUUGGGCUUGUAACUUCUAAAGUGGGUUGAGUUACAACUUGUACAUGAUAAACAAUGAAUUAACUUGCCACCCCUACUUGAACCUGACAACGCCCCCCCCCCCCCCCUCCCAGUUUGAACAAGUUUACCUUUAUACCAACCGUAAAAUUCCUGAAAUAUUGAAAUUUAUAGUAUGUUACUGGAAAUUGAGUCUAUACCAUAAAUUUUGCAAAGUUACAAUUUUUUACCACUACCGUGAGACACAUACCAGAUAUUUGAAUUUUUCGGUAAAUAACGUAGUAGAAAUUUCUAAAUUUCAGGUUGAGAUAUACCGAAAAUUAUGUAUUUUACGUGAAAUGUCAUAACAUUCCGGAAAUUUCAAAAUUCUGGAAAACCGGAAUAUUGAAGUUUUUGGUAUGAGCCCGAAAUUUCAAAAAAACACAAUUUCGUUAUUUUUUAACACAUCGGCCUGCAUGAAUGGUUCGAUAACAUAGAUGCAUAUUCUCCACAAAAUUGGUGCUACAUACAAUAUUACAAAAUAAAUUAGGAUGACUUCCUAACUUCAUCUUCCCAAUGCCUAAUUCGUCCUGCAUAUGCUAAUUCUCAUACUUUUGCAUCUUUAGUACAAUUCUGUCUCCAACGGUCAGUGGCGGGAGGCAAUGGACUAUAAGGUUUCAAACUAACCUAAACCCAAUGAUUGUUGUUGACAAAACCAAUAACAAUGAUUUUAUGCCUGCUCGUAUACAUAGGUGGAGCUAAGGUAAGAAGGAAAAAGGUAACCCAUAUCAGGAAUCACCAUACGUUUUUCUUGACCCUGCACACCCAAGUGUUCUACUUUCAAGGCAUUCCUAAAUUCAGAGUAUGGGUCAUAGAACAAAUUAGAAAACAAAUUACGGUGUUAAUGAACUUGAGUAUCUAACUGCGACUGAAUCAACAACCAUGACUCUUCAACACAUCUAAGUAAAGCUGCAAUAGCCCCAAAACCAAAAUUUCCAUCAUCACCCACAUUAACAAUGUCAUCAAUGUAUGAAUGCAAGAAACCAGGAAACUAAGACAAGUAAAAAUGCCUCAAAGAUGCAGUGGAUGGUUGACUUUGACCUGGGAUAUUUGACGGUUGACUUCCUGUUGGUUUCGUGCAUGAUCUCUUUGUAGUCUGACUCUCCUGUGAGCCCUCACCAUACUCCCAAUAUGAAGGAUCGCGAUACACAACACUCUCUUAACCCUUUCUGCUCUUCUUAACUCCCCUCUUUGGCUUGUACUUCAUCGGUUGUGGACACAUAGAAGUUAUGGAUGGAUGUGUUAGUUCUCGAAACAUUUUCUUCGAAACCCUUUGGCCUACAAUAUCUAAAGUAUUGAAAUAUGUCUUCAAUUCUUCACACUCUGCUUCUAAAUCCAACUUUAUACCAUUUUUUCAUGAUUGACAUCAUGCUCUUCAAUGUGUAAUUUCUUCCAAAAAAAUAUGAAUUAGAUCUAAAGGAACAUGAUUGCCAAGUAUUUGGAAAUCGAUAAGUUGACACGCAUAAGGUAAUCCAUGUGUUAUUCUAAUGAAACAUCUGCAAACAUCUUUUCUUGUCCCAACAAAUUUUACCCUUUCUAGUUCAUUCCCAAUGUGUCGUAUACACUGCAUUGAAAAAUAACUAUGCAAGUUGGUAUAAAAUGGAGUGUUAUAACAUUGUUCAAUGUUGACAAUACUUUUUUGAAAUGAGACUCUGAUUGAACUUAGCUGCAAGUUCAACAUGUUGUUCACAAUAUCCCAACUUCGGCAUAAGUCUCAUCGGCUUGUAGUCAACAUGUUUUUUAGUCUUCAAUGAGCAGACUCCACCCUAAAAACCAUAAUUAAACCGUAAUGAGUCAACAUGAUAAAGAAUUCUUAGUAAUGUAAUGAAAUAAAAAAUAAGUUUGAGUACAUGUUCAUUGUUGUGUUCCCUAAAUGAGUGACUCUGUUAGUUCAAGCAACAACAAACCUUUCUUUAUAAGGUGUCAACCAUGUUUCACUCACAUACUUAACAAACAAAGGAAUAUCAGCACAAACAGUCUUAAAAUGCUUCAAUUGUUAGACAAACUCAGUUUCUCUAUUAGCAUACAUGAUGUUGUUCAAUAGAUCCAUGAAAUGUUCAUGUCUUUCUUAUUUAACAUACUCUUUACAUUUCAUGCUAACGCUUUUUGAAAUAUGGAAUGAACAUAACAAAUGAGUUGAAUUUGGAAACACAACUUUAAUUGCAUUCAUCAACGCAAGUUCUCGGUCCGUCACCACAACAUUCGGUAACAAUUUCUCAGAAUAGAACAACUCUUUGAGAUUCUCUAGUGCCCAUUUGAAGUUCUCAUCCCUUUCAUAUUCUACAUAGGCAAAGCCUACCGAAAAAGUCAAUUUUUGACGUAACGCCAACAAUCUCAAGCAGUGGUAGUUGAUACCUAUUUGUCUUGUAUGUACAAUAAAAGAUCAACACUAAGUGAAAUAUAUUCAACAACUUCACUGAAUCAGGAUGUGUCUAGAAGAUAUCAGCAACAACAUUUGAGUAUUACUUAUUUCUUGUCCAACACAUAUAUUUUUCUAUAUGAAUAAGAGUCAACAACAUUUUCAUUUCCGUCGAUGAACCUUUCUUACUCGCAUUGUAUGUAGCUCUAGCUUUAUACACUUGGAUAAAACUGGUGAGGUUUUCUGGAUCUUUGUCUUUCAAGGAAGAAACUAUGUAUCGUGGUGCCAUGUUGUACUUAGUCAUGUCAUUCACAAACUGUCUCUCGUUAACUUUUAGAUGACUCAAUAUGUCACAACCAUCUAAAUCCUCAGAUAUUUUAUGAUUGUGCAACCCACACCUAACCAUCAUCUUCCAACCACUGCCACUCAGCACAAAUCUUAGCCUAAAAGGGAAUUUCGCUUUCAUACUAUAAACACCCUAUGAGGUUUUACUGCUUUCAUAUGUAUUCUUCCUUUUACAAUUUCCUCCUCUGUCACAACCCAUAAUCAAUUUAUCUUUCCUACCUCGCUUGUCUUUUGCAGUAGCAGAAUAAGCAGUCACAACAAUAAUACCAUAUUGUUUGCCAAUAUUCUAUGCACAAGCUAAUACUUCAGAUCGAGACUCAAAUAUCUACCAUUUACAUCACAUAAAAAGUAUACUAUCAAUAUCAUAUAAGGACGGGAAAAUAUUUAAUUUAAACUUGUUAAUAGAAAACAUAUUUUGUAUGUGGUGAAGAAUUGCGUACAUUUUGCUACAUGAAUCCGUAGAUGACCAUGUCGGUUCCAGACCAUACAAAUAAAGCAUUUUCCCUAAUUUCGACUAUGUUACACUAAAUUUUAAAUAUAUUCAAAAUUUCCGGUAUACUCGAAAUUUGCAAAUUUUUGGAUGUUUUUUUUCCAGAAAUUUUAAAUUUUAUGGUAUUGGAUAUUGGAUAUUUUGAAAUUUCUAGUAUUUUCUACCAGAAUUUUCCAUAUUUUUGGUAUAAAUGCGUGAAUUUUCAAAAAUGCAAAAACUCGCGUAUCGAAAAUUUCAAAAUUACCACCGAAAAUUUGUUUUGGUAUAUUAGAAAAAGAUAAAAUUUUGGAAGAAGAGUAAAAUUUAAUUGGUAAAUAUUAACAAUAUUUUGGAAAUUUAAAUUUUUUGAAAGGUGUCGGAUAUGAUAUGAGGGGUGGCAAGAUAAUUCCUCGUGAUAAACACGUGGUGGAGAUAGACAUAUUUUCCAACAAUUUUCCACUUCUGGCCCCACCUCUCUCUUCUGGUUUUCAAACAAAAAAGUAUAAGUGGUUUAUUCAAAAACAAAUAUAAAUAUGUGGUGGAGAUGAGACAAAUUCUCCAAUCAUCUUUCCACUUUCGAGCCCCACCCAUCUCUUCAAAACCAGAAUUCAAACAAAAAAGAAUAAGUGGUUUAUUCAAAAACAAAUGUAAAGCAAUAACAAAAGUUAGAUAAUUGAUACAUACCAAAUAAAACUCUAGAAUAAAGAAAAGGAACGGGGAACUCUGAACUACCACUCUUUUCAUCUUCUUUUCACCUUCUAAAUCAAAUUAGUUUCUUGUUUGUUGUCGUUGUAACAUUCACUUGUAAAGGUUCAAGUUAGAGAGGAAGGUAUUAACACCCUUCACAUCCCUUGUAUUCAACGGGAAUCAUUUAGUUAGUUUUGUGAGAGGUGUUAGCUUAAAAAUGUUUGUGUUUCCUCUUAUUUAUUAAUUGCUGAAAGAAAAUGCAGAUCAAAACGAUUUUUUUAUUAGGGUGCUUGACGAGAUGUUAAAUAUCGCUCUACAUCCUCUACUGCGAUGAGGAAUUCAAAGCUAUGUAAUUCUUUGUAGAAAAUGAUUUCACAUUCUAGAAGUUAAACAUUUCUUGUAUGAUCGCACAUGAGAGACAUAAGCGUUUGUUUGAAUCAUGGUAGAAUGUAUAAAACAUCAUUGAUUUAUGAAAAAGUUUGCGAUCAUGCUAGUGCGGAAAAAGAUUGGUUUAGUUGGUUGAAAGGGUUUUUAAGUAGAUGACGAGCAUUCAAAAAACAAGCUCUAUAACAAAUAUCCAAAUACUCGGGGAAGAAAGAGGCCUACGCCCAAUUAAUCCUUUUUCAUCCAAAAAUUUUAUGAAAGAUGUGAGGCAAAUUGAGUCAUAGUUCCAUAACAUAAGACGAAUAUUCAAAAAACUAGCUCUACAACUAGUAUCCAAAUAGUCUUAGAAGAAAGAGGCCUAUGACCAAUUAAUUUUCUUUCAUCUAUGAAAGAACAUAAUAAAUUCGAUUGAUUAACGUAUUUUAGCUUUGAAGACGAGUGCUGAUAGUGUAUUUCUGGUUGAUUAAAUGUGUAUUCUGACAUUUUCAUAGUGUAUUUCUGGGAAGGAAUCAACGAGGGUUGUCCUCAUUGAAAAUCAAAUCGGAAUAAUUCCAAAUUGAGUGUGCCAAUCAAUUGGUUAAUGUCCCCAAUGAAUUGAUUAAUCGAGUCUUUCUUGAUUUUGGAUUUUCAUUAUUAAUUAUGGGAUUUGAUUACUUUGGAGCAUGCAUUUAGCUUGGAUUUGAUUUGAAAAUUUGUGCGUCAAGCUCUUCAAAUCAAUUUCCUUAAGGUGUCGAUCGAAUGGACUUACCUCAGUUAGGCUCCUUGGUGCAUUUUAUGUCGUGUGCCAGAUUUUGUGGUUUUUCUACACCCAGUUCAUUUUUAUUUGCACCUCAUUUCGAUGAAACACUUAGAAACUCCUCUUUUCGGUAAGUGGACAUCAUUUAUCGAGAUGCAAAAAAUUAAAACCACUACUUUAAAAGAUUAAUCAAAUUUUUUCUGAUCAUUUCAAUCAUAAAAUAAUGUACUAUCUCAAAUAUCAAAAGCACAUCCUAGUGAUCUAUUACAUAUUACUCACCAAUGAUAUUUUACAUUGGUUGUAGAGGUUAACUCACAACCUUUUAGUAUAUGAGGCAACUCCUUACCAACUAAGUCAACCUUCACUAGUGUUUGAUAGCGAUGAAUACGAGUUGGAUUGAACUUUGUUUGGUCUAAUCCCUUAUCCAAUCCGUUCAAAUUUUAAUGAAUUGAGUUCAUCGUCCAACCUAAGAUUUCAAAAUCAAACGAAACAAAAUCGAUAUGUUCAUUUAUGAGUUGGGUUAGGUUGAGUUUGUGGGUUCUGUUUCAAAUAAAAAAUAAUUUUUUAAAUAAUUUUUUUCAAUUAUAAAAAAAUAAUAACAUAAUUCGAUAAAAUUACAUUCAUUUGUAACACUCAACUUGUUUUAAACACAUUAUAUAAUGUCCAUAAAAUUCAUCCACUUGAUAAUAGUAGGAAAUUUCACAAAACACCUUAUUUUAAUGAAAUAAGAAACGUGGAAAUGAUACAAAAUAAAAUCAGAAACAAUAUUAAAUCUUAGAAUUAUUUAAAUUCAUGGUCUAGUAGUAUUAGUAUAUUGAUGUUAAAUAGGUAUAUAUAUUUUUGGAAAAAUUGUGAUUAGAACUGAUUAUUGCGGAUUGAGCUGAAUAUAUCUGUAAAUAAACGAGUUCAAACAAUUUAAGAGUUUGUUCAAUUUGAAUCAAUAGAUUUGCGGAUUAACUCACAUCAAUGAACACUCUUAUAAUUGGAUGUCUUUCUUUUGAUGGAGAAACAAAAUAAAUAAUUUUAAUCUUGUGGUUGGACGAUGCAUUCUGAAAUUGAAAUUUAUGUAUUUAUUUUUUCAAUUAUUUUGAUAGCAGCCAUAAAGAUAGUAUGCAUACAUAAAUUUGUACAAAGACAUAUAUGCUAUAUUCUGCAGCAACAUAGGGCUCCUUGACAAGCACUACCGAAAGUGAUGCCCUUUUGUGCACAACUCUAAAGAUAUUCUUGAGGAUGAUCUGGACACAAAGCAAUAACAUAAGUUAGAUAAUUGAUACAUACCAAAUAAAACUCUAGAAUAAAGAAAAGGAACGGGAAACUAUGAACUACCACUCUUUUCAUCUUCUUUUCACCUUCUAAAUCAAAUUAGUUUCAAUGAAGAAAUUCAACAAUGUUCAUCUUCUUUCUUUACUUCUCUGUAACCACCCAUUCUUUGUUUAGUCCAUCCUCCAAAUUUAAAACAAUCGCACAUCCCUUUGCAACACUCACUUCAAAUAAAGAUGUUAAAACAUUUUUUUCAAACAAACCCUCGAUCAUGUAAAUUUCAAGUAUUGGGGUGGUGCUAAUUCCAGCGCUCCAAUACUUGCCUAUUUGGGUGCAAAAAAUGAAAUGGAAAUGCCGGAUGAAGAUUUUGGGACGGAUAAUGCAGCAUCCUUUAAAGCCUUACUGGUGUAUAUAGAGGUAGUAAAUAUGAAACUGUUUCUUUAAUACUCAAUGAUGAUUUAUGAAUCAAGUUGGUUUUACAUAAUCUGACCUUACUUUUAAUUUUCUUCUUAGCAUCGCUAAAUCUGUUCCCUUUGGAUCAAAGGAAAAGGCAUACAAGAAUGUGAAUACCUUGGGCUACUUAAAGUCAGAACAAGCCCUCCCAGAUUACACCAUCGUGCUGAUAGAUUUAAAAAACUCAUUACAUGCACAAGAGUCACCUGUGAUUGUGAUGGUAGCAUCCUAUGGCGGAAGUUAGUUUCUAAGACUCUCUUAUUUUGAAAAUUCUUCCUCUUUGUAUAGAAUUCUUGUCUAUAUGAUUUAUAUAAAUUCUGUAGUUGUGAUGUGUUACUAUUAUAUUAUGUUUUUGCUUUCUAAUGGUAAAAAUAAGAAUGUAGAAUCAGAAGAAUCCGAGCUAUGAAUCUCUAUUUGAAUGUAGCAGCAACAGAUCCUAUUGCAGUCUACUAUCCAUGCUUUAGUGUACUAAUUGCUCACAACAUUCUAUGAAAAGUGUCAGCGUAUUAAAAACCACUGAAAUUAUAAAACAACAAUGAGAUUAGAAGAACAGAAAAAGGUCAUUAAGAAUUGAGGCUAAUGAUUGAGUUUUUGAAACUUGAUCAAAGUAAUGACAUACUAAAGGAUUUCUUUCUUGAAGAUUUAAAACUAGAAUUUCAUAUAUUGUAUUCUCAGUUUAUGCAGUCUUAUUAUACAUUUAUCAGUAUUCUUGUUUCUUCAUUAUAAUUCUUUACUUUUAUAACUUUCCACAUCUUCAUCUACUUUCACUUUCACCUUUUUGAAAAAGACUUUCAGUUUUACCUCACCAACAUCAUCGCACGGUAUCGUUGGAACCACUGUUAGUGUUGUUGGUGUAAGCCCUAGAGGCCAAUACUUUUGGUACUUGUAUCAAAUUAUUUAUUAAUAAUAAAAGGCAUUUUCUUUAUUAUGUUUGUUUAAUAAAGUCCCUGGAAUAGAUAGUCCGAUUAAUGGAUCAAGUGUGACUUGAUCAUGAGAUCACAUUAAACAUAAGGACACCAUUCUUAAAGUAUCCAUAGUCGGGCUUUAUUGUGAAGUGGGAUAACAUUAAAGCAUUGAGACUAUUAUGUUUGUAGACUGAUGAUCACAUCUCAUGGAUCAUGGAUAAAGAGUUAUCAAGUCUUAAACAUAUGUAUGAAUAUUAAGAGUAAUGUUUAUACCGGAUUGACCCGUUAUGAGAAUACUAUAUAGAAAGUUAUGCAAAGUGUCAUAAGUUAUUCUCAUGGUGAUAAUGGUGUAUACCACUCUUCGACCUGAAACCACUAUGGAUCCUAGAUGUAGAGUCGAAUACUUUAUUGUUGAUCCAACAUUGUCCGUAACUGGAUAACCAUAAAGACAGUUGAUGGGUACUCCACAAAGCAUGCUGAGGGACAUGAGUGACCUAGAUGGAAUUUGCCCAUCCUGCGUAACAGGAUAAAUGUCUAUGGCCAAUAUUGAACUGGACAGGAUGACACGGUCUAUACUUGUGUUCAAUAUAGACAUAAGGGCAAAAGGGUAAUUAUACACAUAUUUUUUAUCACAGGAGGUUUUUGUCAGAUCAUCAUGAAUUUUUGUCUUGGGUAGCAGUGAUGUGUUGCUAGAUACCGCUCACUGUUUAUUAUGUUAAAUGUGUGAUUUAAUAUAAUUGCCAACGUCACGAAAACCUACAGGGUCACACACAAAGGACGGAUUGAUGAGAUAGAGUAACUAAGGAACAUCGUAAGGUACGGUGCACUUAAGUGGAAUACGCAAUAUGGUAAGGUACCAAAUACUUAAGUGAUUUGAGAAUAUUAUAAGAUAUGGGCCAAAAUACACUUAAGUGGGCUUUUUAGCUAGAAGCCCACACAAGUGGUUCUAUAAAUAGAACCCUUGGGUAGAAGCAUUGUCACUCAGACAACAACUCAAGUGAAGACUUGGAAUUUCGUUUCCCUCUCUCUCACACUCAAAACCUUCAUUCGUACCAGAUAGAACUGAGAUUGAAGAAACCCGUUCGUGUGGACUGAGUAGAGACGAUGUCAUCGUUCAACGUUCGUGAUCGCUCCGUGGAUCUGUAUCCGAGUUUUUGAUCGUUACAAGAGAUCUGCACCAAAGCUUUGAAUCGCCACAAGAGGUAACGAUUCUAUCACUGAUCAUUCUCAUUCGUAAGGAUCACUAAAUGGAGAAAAUUUUAAAUUCCACUGCGAUUUGGAUGGCUAUUCUCCUUCAAUGGUAUCAGAGCCACUUACGAAACCAUGAAUCUGAUAACUGUUUAUUUUCUGUAUUAAUACGAUUAAAAUAGAAUGAAUCAAAGAUUAAAUUGAGAUCGAUCAAGUCAUAUAUAUGAUAUAUGUAAUCCUGAUGAAAAAUACAUUAUAUAUGAUAUAGUGUUCUUGUUUCGUUCAUUCAAACACUCAAUGGUUAUUUUCCUUUGAGCGAUCAAUGGUUAUUUGCUUCUUGAUCCGACAUUUAUAUGGUGAAGCAAUGACGUGUUGAUCAAUCAUACUGAAUCAACAAUCGAGAUGUGUUUGACGGUCUGAAAUUGGUGCAUCAGGGUUAGUGACGGCACAAGGGUUGUGUUGUCAGAGAGUUAUGCGAUGAAUCAACAAUCGAGAUGUGUUUGACGGUCUGAAAUUGGUGCAUCAGGGUUAGUGACGGCACAAGGGUUGUGUUGUCAGAGAGUUAUGCGAUUGGGGUUGUGACUGCACAAGAGUUGUGCUUUCCAAACACUUUUUGAAACAGUGUUAACCGGUUAAUGCAUAUGGUUAACCGGUUAACGCAGUACGAAAUAAAUUUUUUAAGGUUUUCAAACAGUGUUAACCGGUUAACGCAUUUGGUUAACCAGUUAACGCAAGACGGAAUACAGUUUUCCAAGAGAUUUUCAAACAGUGUUAACCGGUUAACGCAUUUUGUUAACCAGUUAACGCAAGGCAGAAAACAAUUUUUGAACAGAUUUCAAACAGUGUUAACCGGUUAAGGCAUUUGGUUAACCGGUUAACGCAAGGCAAAAUUCACCCGAGUGCUUUAAAAGUAUCAAGUGUUGAUGCGAAAAGCGACGUCGAUCGGUCGUCGAAAUUUAAUUUGGUUUUAAUUAAUUAAAAGAAUUAAAAUUGAUAAUAAUAAAAUGUGUUUAUUAUUGUCUUGUGGUGAUCGGUUAUGCCCUUAGUUUUUCUUUAUUUUGGUUUUGGGUUUUUUAAAAUACGACCUGCGUGUCGUGCCUCUCUCUUAAUCUCCCAAAUGUAACUUCUUUUCUCAUCUCACUCCCUCGUAUGUAAAACGAGUUUCUUUUAUGUAAUGAUAUGAAGAAAGCAAAGAAGUCGGUGCCAAAGGAGGACAACCUUGAAGAUCUUGCUUGGAGAAGCUUAGAUCGUUGUUAGGUUAGCUUAUGUUCUCUCAUUGGCUUGGGAGAACAAUUGCGCUAGGGGCCAUAACUGUUUCAUUAUGUAUGUAUGUUGAUGCAUGUGAAUGUAUGUUGAUGCAUGUGAGAGGCGAUUUAUAUGAUAAAUAAGCCGGUGAGAUCAUAACGAUUACAAUUCCCUCAAAUUAAAUAUUAAGUUUUUGCUUUCCAAGUUUUAACACUCAUCAAGACUAGUAUCGGAUAAUGUAGGUUUCGCCUACGCGAGGUGCAUGUUCUAUAUUAGUAAGGUGCGAUGGGAUAAUUGUAAUAUCCAACUGUUAAAACAAUGGGUCAAACUUAACUAAACAAAUUAUAAUAAUAUUAUAUGUGUUUGCUUUCCAAGUUUUAGCACUCAUCAAGACUAGUAUCGGACAAUGUAGAUUUCGCCUAUGCGAGGUGCAUUUUCUAUAUUGGUAAGGUGCGAUGGGAUAAUUGUAAUAUCCAACUGCUAAAACGAUGGGUCAAACUUAAUUAUAAUAAUAUUAUAUAUGUUUAGAAGCAAGAGUUGGGAAUGAUCCAUAUGAUGGAUUGGAAUAAGGAGUUAUUCACCCAACUGAAAUUUUCGAGAGUUGUAUAAGAUACAAUUGGAAGGAGUUCCUACCUAAAUAAUCUAGUUUUGUGUAAUCCGCCUACGCGUACUUAGAACGAAGUGAAACAUGGAUCUCGACCCACUAGAAAAUCUUCCAACGAGAUUUUUCGAAUCAAAUGAUGAGGGUCAUUUGUUUUGAGUAAAAUAGUGGGAGCAUAUUUAAUUAAAGGCCUAAUUAAAUAUGUCAAUGAUACGUAUAUUUUCAUUAAUCCUUAUGUAGAUAACCAUGACAGCAAACACCUCUAACGACAUCUUGCGAUCAAUCCUUGACAAGGAAAAAUUGUCUGGGACAAAUUUUCUGGAUUGGUACCGAAACAUGAGGAUUAUCCUCAAACAUGAUAAAGGGAAAGGCAAGGAAGUUGUCAAACCCAAACCCACUAUUGCUGCUUUAAAGCUUGGUGGAGGCAUAGCAAAAGAAGGCACUUGCUUCCAUUGCGGUAAGACCGGACACUGGAAGAGGAACUGCCCAAAGUACCUGGAAGAUAGGAAGAAUGGAGUAGAGACUCCAACUUCAGGUAUUUUUGUUAUGAAAUUAAUUUAUCUACUUCUGCAUCAUGGGUAUUAGAUACUGGAUGCGGUUCUCACAUUUGUACAAAUGUGCAUGGACUAAAAAGGAGUAGAGAUUUGGCAAAAGGUGAAGGCGACCUACGAGUUGGCAAUGGAGCAAAGGUUGUUGCCUUAGCCGUAGGAACUUAUGUAUUGACUUUACCCAAUGGUUUAAUAAUUCAGUUAAAGAACUGUUAUUAUGUACCUGCAAUUAGCAGGAAUAUUAUUUCUGUUUCUUGUUUGGACAAGUUUGGUUUUUCUUUCAUAAUAAAGAAUAAUUGUUGUUCAAUUUAUUUGAAUGAUAUAUUCUAUGCUACUGCACAAAUGAACAAUGGAUUAUAUGUCCUUGAUCUGGAAAUGCCUAUUUAUAACAUUAAUACUAAAAGGAUGAAACCUAAUGAGUUAAAUCCAACUUACCUUUGGCAUUGUCGAUUAGUCCACAUAAAUGAGAAGCGCAUUUCCAAACUCCAUAAAGAUGGACUCUUGGACUCUUUUGAUUAUGAAUCAUAUGAGACAUGCAUAUCUUGUUUAAUUGGAAAGAUGACAAAGUCUCCAUUCACAGGAAAAGGUGAAAGAGCCUAAUGAUCUGCCGUGCAUACUCAUACUGAUGUAUUGGACCACUGACAUACCAGCCAGAGGAGGUUUUCAGUACUUCAUCACAUUCAUUGUAUGAUUUCAGUAGAUUGGUUAUGUGUAUUUAAUGAAACACAAAUCAGAGUCCUUUGAAAAGUUCAAGGAAUUCAAGAAUGAAGUACAAAACCAAACUAGCUGAGAAUAUUAAAACUCUUCGAUCAGAUCGAGGUGUGAAUAUUUAAGCAGAGUUUGAUGACCAUCUGAAAGAGUGUGGAUCCUAUCCAAACUUACUCCUCCUGGAACACCCCAAUGGAAUGGUGUAUCUGAGAGAAGAAAUCGAACCCUGUUGGACAUAGGUCCGAUCCAUGGAUGAGUCACGACGAUCUCAACUCUUGGGGCAUGACUGUUGACAGCAGCUUCACACUUACGUCUUCCACCAAAAAGGUGAAGACUAUAGAUAUGGGGUAAUAACCACAUAUGUCUUACAUAAAGAUGUGGUUGCGAAGUUACUGAAGACAAAUUUCAACUAAGCUUGCAAUUCAUAUUUAUUAUCUAUUGUGCGCUUUACUACUUGUCACAUUUUUAUUUGUCUAGUACUGCUAUUGCGGGUAAUCUAGUAUAAAGAGGUACAUUUGGAAAAGUUUUGGGGGUGUAUCAUCCAUAUGGUGGAUAUGGAGUGUAGUAAACUGUCACAUACGUGGUCUUACAAUUGAAGAUUUGAGUCGUGUUGCCGAAUCUAUACUGAUCAUAGACAAAUUUACUAAUUCGAGCAAGUAUUGAUGCGUUUUUGUGUGGUUUUCGCUAAGAAGGGGGUAUAUUCACAUCUGUCGAGGGAAAUGGUGCAUGGAACUGGGAGUAUUCCAGUAGAAAAGGAUUUUAUUUCCAACGAAUCAGUGGGAGGAAAGUAGAGCUUGAAGAAAUUCAAGAAUCACAGAGCAUCGAUACACCUAUGGGGAAUUAGAGCAGGAAACACAAGUAGUUGUGAAGGCAGCCUGUCAACUAGACAAGACCGCGUAGGUCAAGCAGGAUACAUCACCUACCUGAGAGAUAGGAUAUCUCAUAACAGAUCAAGGUGUGUAUUAUCUCAUGGAUCAAGAUGAGCCUGUGACCUACCAAGAGGCCUAACUGGUCCCGAGUUUUGAGAAGUGGCUAGGCAGCCAUGAAUCCGAAAUGGAUUCAUGUACACAAACCAAGUUUUGACCUUGGAGAGCCUCAUGUAGGAGUUAACCCUAGGAUGCAAGUGGGUCUUCAAAAGAAGACUGACAUGGAUGUAAGGUACAUACCUAUUAAGGCAAGACCUGUUGCAAAGGAUAUAAACAAAUUCAUGGGGUUGACUAUGAUGAAACCUUUUCACCAGUUGCAAUGCUUAAAUCUGUUCGGAUUUUUACUUGAUAUCGCUGCAUAUCAUGAUUAUGAAAUAUGGCAGAUGGAUGUCAAAACUGCUUUCCUUAAUGGGAAUCUUCUUAAGGAUGUGUACAUGACACAACCUGAAGGAUUUGACAUACCAGAAGAAGCCAAAAGACAUGUAAGCUACAAAGAUCAAUCUAUGGAUUGAAGCAGCUUCCAGAAGCUAGAAUCUUCGUUUUGAUGAAACGGUAAAACAAUAUGGAUUCAUCAGAACGAAGAUGAGCCUUGUGUCUACAAGAAGGUUAGUGAGAGGCAUGAUCGUUUUCCUGGUAUAUAUGUAGAUGACAUAUUACUCAUUGGAAACGAUGUCCCUACCCUGCAAUAAGUAAAGUCUUGGUUUGGGGAAAUGCUUUUCUAUGAAGGACCUAGGUGAAGAAGCCUAUAUAUUAGGAAUCAGAAUCUAUAGAGAUAGAUCACAAAACUGCUUGGCCUAAGUCAGAGUAGAUAUAUAGACAAAGUGCUGAGACGCUUUAAUAUGCAUGAUUCCAGAAAGGAUUCAUACUAUGCAACAAGGCCUGUGUCUAUCAAAAACACAAUCCCCUUCAACUAAGGAAGAAAGGAUCGCAUGAAUAGAUUCCAUAUGCAUCUGCCAAUAGGAUCUAUCAUGUAUGCCAUGUUAUGUACUCGACCAGAUGUCUCGUAUGCUUUAAGUGCAACUGAGUAGGUACCAAUCUGAUCAUGGUGAAUGCCCAUUGGGUAGCUGUCAGAAUAUCCUUAAGUACUUGAGAAGGACUAAGGACUCAUUCUUGAUAUAUGGAGAUCAGGAAGAGUUGGCUAUACUUGGAUACAUCGACGCUAGCUUCCAGCAGAUAAGGAUGACUUUAGAUCGCCAAUCUGGUUUAUGUGUUUUGCUUAAACGGUGGCGCUGUAGCGAUGCUGGAAAAGUUCAAAGCAAGAUAACAGUUGCUGAUUCUACAACCAAGGCCGAGUAUAUUGCUGCCUCAAGUGCAGCAAAGGAGUUGUUUGGAUCAAAAAGUUCAUUAGUGAACUUGGCAUAUUCCCUAGCAUUGUGGAUCCCAUUGGUCUCUAUUGUGAUAACAAUGGUGCUAUCGCACAAGCUAAGGAGCCUAGAUCUCACAACGAUCCAACACAUACUUAGGCGUUAUCACUCAUUCGAGAGAUAAUAGAUAGAGGAGAUGUGAAAUAUGCAAAGUACCUUCACUUGACAAUAUUGCUUGACCCACUGACAAAGCCUCUUGCGCAACAGAAGCAUGUGGCCAUAAUAGAUCAAUGGGCAUUAGGAGGUAUGCCUGAUUGGCUCUAGUGUCAGUGCGGAGAUGUUUGGUGUAAGCCCUAGAGGCCAAACUUUUGGUACUGUUGUGUAUUGAUUAUUUAUUAAUAAUAAAAGGCAUUUUCUUUAUUAUGUUUGUUUAAUAAAGUCCCUGAAUAGAUAGUCCGAUUAAUGGAUCAAGUGUGACUUGAUCAUGAUCACAUUAAACAUAAGGACACUAUUCUUAAAGUCUCGAUCCUAGUCUUGAAGGGCUCUCAUUGAUGAAAGUGGAUAACAUUAAAGCAUAGGUAGGCUAUUAUAGUUUGUAGAUUGAUAUCACAUCUCAUUGGAUCAUGGAUAGAGUUAUCAAGUUUAAACAUAGGUAUGAAUAAUAAGAGUAAUCAUUUUUACCGGAUUGACCCGCUAUGAGAAUACUACUAUAGAAAGUUAUGCAAAGUGUCAUAAGUUAUUCUCAUGGUGAUAAUAGUGUAUUACCACUCUUUGACUGUGAAACCACUAUGGAUCCUAGAUGUAUAUAUUUGAGUACUUUAUUGCUGAUCCAACGUUAUCCGUAACUGGAUAACCAUAAAGAGCAGUGAUGGGUAUCCACAAAGCAUGCGGGAAGGACAAUGAGUGACCUAGAUGUAAUUUGCCCAUCCUGCGUACAGGAUAAAGUCUAUGGUCCCAAUAUGAAUCUGGACAGCGUAUGACACGGUCUAUACCUUGUGUUCAAUAUAGACAUAAGGGCAAAAGGGUAAUUAUACACAUAAUUAUUAUCACAGGAGGUUUUGUCAGAUCACAUGACAUUUUCGUGUCUUGGGUAGCAGUGAUAUGUUGCUAGAUACCGCUCACUGUUUCUUAUGUUAAAUGUGUGAUUUAAUAUAAUUGCCAACGUCGCGAAAACCUGCAGGGUCACACACAAAGGACGGAUUGAUGAGAGAUAGAGUAACUAAGGAACAUCGUAAGGUACGGUGCACUUAAGUGGAAUACGCAAUAUGGUAAGGUACCAAAUACUUAAGUGAUUUGGGCAUAUUAUAAGAUAUGGGCCAAAAUACACUUAAGUGGGCUUUUUAGCUUGAAGCCCACACAUGUGGUUCUAUAAAUAGAACCUUUGGAUAGAAGCAUUGUCACUCAGACAACAACUCAAGUGAAGACUUGGAAUUUCGUUUCCCUCUCUCUCUCUCACUCAAAGCCUUCAUUCGUACCAGCUAGCACUGAGAUUGAAGGAACCCGUUCGUGUGGACAGAGUAGAGACGUUGUCAUCGUUCAACGUUCGUGAUCGCUCUGUGGAUCUGUAUCCAAGAUUUUGAUCGUUACAAGAGAUCUGCACCAAAGGUUUGAAUCGCCACAAGAGGUAACGAUUCUAUCACUGAUCAUGCCUAUUCGUAAGGAUCACUAAAUGGAGAAAUUUUUAAAUUCCGCUGCGCCUUGUUCGUUACAAGAGAUCUGCACCAAAGGUUUGAAUCGCCACAAGAGGUAACGAUUCUAUCACUGAUCAUGCCUAUUCGUAAGGAUCACUAAAUGGAGAAAUUUUUAAAUUCCGCUGCGCCUUGGAUGGCUAUUCUCCUUCAAGUGUAACAUGCAUGCUAUUGUAAAACUAACUGGUGUUGACUUAUCUUUAACUUGACCCUUUUGGACUUGGUAUUAGCAAUAAAAGCCAAAUAAUUUUAAAAGAUAUUUUUCCCUCUGUUCUUCAUAUAUGUCAUUUAACAAGAUUUAUGAUAGGAAAAUCUCUAUGAAAUAUUCAAUUAAAGCAUUCGUCAUAAAAAGUACAAAAUUCUUAAUGCUACUUACAUUUAUAUAUAUAUCAAAUAGCUAAAAGUGAUGGUGAUUUUGAGUUUGCUCAAGCAAAGAAUCAAACACUAAGAGAAGCUGGAGUUGUUGUUCCUACUUCAUACGAAGCUUUUGAAACUUUAAUUAAAGAAACAUUUAACAUAGUGUGCAAGGAGUCAUUACAACCACGAUGAAAUAUAAUAACAUGUUGUUCACAUAAGCUUUGGUCGACAUUACAACCACUGUGAAUGUUAGUAGAGACCAUAGCAUUGUAAGAAGUUGAUGUUCGUUCAAACAUUUCAUCGAACAAUUUACGAGUAUUUUCUGUUUAAAAAAAAGAGAUGCAAUAUAGAUGCUUUAGGGUAAUUUAAGGUUAUUGUUAGCGUUAUUGUUAGUAGAGAUGUUAUAGAUGCAAAUUCACAACAUGAUGAAGGAGAAGAAGAAGAAGAGCAAGAUGAAUAGGGAGGUUUGUAAACCCCAUAAUCUAUUGAAGUUGCAUGUCCCCAAUACUUUCUGGGGGAGAAUCCCAAAAUGGUUUUUUUGUUUGUCUUAUCGCUUUCGUUUUGUUUAUUAUUGUUUAUUGAGUCUUCUUCAUGAUUUCAUCAUUGAAUCAAUUUUUGAAUCGAUUCAUUUUUAGCAUGCAUAAUUCAAUUGUUUGUAUUUGAGUUUGAUCAUGAUACUUCUAGUCAAUUGAUUGAGUUAGUGGAACAAAAACCAUAUAUGUUGUUCAUUCAAGUUAGGUUGAAAGGAAAAUCUUAAAGUGUUUUGAAAAUCAUGAAAAAUUGAGAUUUUAUAUGCAUGACCUGAAUCAUGUACAUAUCCUGACUAAACUUAAAUUGAACAGAGGCGAAUAUAAACUUUUCAAAACCUAUAACUCGAGUCACACUUUUAACUUGAUUCAAAUCAGGCAUCUCUAUGACUCAAAUCAUAAGUUGCACUUGAUUCUAAUUAGACAAAUUUAGUCAUCCUCUGCCUCUUUUGAUUCGAAUCAGACAAAUUUUCACAUUUUUCAUUUUGGCUCUAUCCAAUUUCACUCGAAUUAAGCUUUAUACUUAACUCGAAUCACAAGCCUUCACGACUCGAAUCAGGCUUAAAGAUGCCUCGAAGAUGACAAUUGACUUGUUGUUGGUUUUGUGCAUGAUCUUUUUAUAGCCUGACUCCCCUGCAAUCCCUUACCAUAUUCCCAAUGUGAAGGAUCAUAAUGCACAUCACUCUCUUCACCCUUUCUGCUCUUCUUAACUCCCCUUUUUGGCUUGUACUUCAUCGGUGGUGGAGACAUAAAAUUGUGGAUGGAUGUGUUAGUUCUCGAACCUUUUUGUUCAAAAUCCUCUAGCAUACAAUAUCCAAAGUAUUGAAAUAUGUCUUCAAUUCUUCACACGCUGCUUUUAAAUCCAACUUUGUACAAUUUUUUUCAUGACUGACAUCAUGCUCUUCAAUGUGUAAUUUAUUCCAAAAAAACAUGAAUUGGAUCUAAAGGAACAUGAUUGACAAGUAUUUGGAAACCUACAAGUUGACACGCACAAGAUAACCCAUGUGUCAUUCUAAUGAAACAACCGCACGAAUCUUUGCUUGUACCAAUUUUUUUACCCUUUCUAGUUCCUUCCCAAUGUGUUGUAUACACAACAUUGAAACAAAACCGUGCAAGUUAGUAUACAAUGGAGUGUUAUACUGAUGCUCAAUGUUGACAAUACUUUUUUUAAAUGAGAAUCUGAUUGAACUUAGCUGCAACUUCAAAAUAUUAUUCAUAACAUCCCAACUUCGGCACAAAUCUCCUUGGCUUGUAGUCAACAUGUUUUUUAGUCUCCAAUAAGAACACUCCACCCUAAGAACCAUAAUUAAACCAAAAUGAGUCAACAUGAUAAAUUAUGUUUAGUAAUGUAAUGACUUAAAAAAUAAGUCUGAGUACAUGUUCGUUGUUUUGUUCCUUAAAUGAGCGAAUUUGUUAGUCCAAGCAGCAACAAAACUUUCUUUAUAAGGUGUCAACCAUAUUUCACUCACAUACUUAACAAAAAAAGGAAUAUCAACACAAAUAGUCUCAAAGCGUUUGGGACAAACUCAGUUUCUCUAUUAGCAUACAUGAUGUUAUUCAAUAGAUCCAUGACAUGUUCAUGUCUUUCUGAUUUAACAUACUCUUUACAUUUCAUGAUAACGUUAUUUGAAAUAUGGAGCGAACAUAACAAAUGAGUUGAAUUUUGAAACACUACUUGAAUUGCAUUCAUCAACGCAAGUUCUCUGUCAGUCACCACAAUAUUCAGUAGGUAUUUUUCGGAAUAGAACAACUCUUUGAGCUUCUCCAGCGCCCAUUUGAAGUUCUCCUCCCUUCCAUAUUCCAGAUAGGAAAAGCCUACCGAAAACAUCAAUUUUAUUGACGUAACGCCAAAAAUAUCAAGUAGUGGUAGUCGAUACCUAUUUGUCUUGUAUGUACAAUAAAAGAUCAAUACCAAAUGAAACAUACUCAACAACUUCAUUGAAUCAGGAUAUGUCCAAAAGAUAUCAACACCAAUAUUUAAGUCUUCCCUCACUACAACAAACAAGACCUUAGACAGCGCUUUUUUUAGCCUUAGACAGCGCUUUAAAGCGCUGUCUAAACCUCCGCUGCUAAAGGUUUAGACAGCGCUUUUUUAAAUCUUAAAAGCGUUGUCUCUAGCCAGUGAACACAUUGCCAAUUGGUCCAUACAAGAAAUUGUGGCUUAAAUUCCUGCAAGACAAAAAAGUGUUAAUUUUCACUGCCAUUUUCAAAUCAAUAUUAUAUCAUACUCAAUGUGAUAAAGAAAUUUGAAGCAGCUCCCCUUUCAAGCUUGGAAUCAAUCAAUAUGAAUGUAACUCACAGAUGUCUUAGUUUUUUCAUGUUGAUAAUGAUGAGGGAUAUUUUGGCUCAAAUAGUUGCAAGCCAUGUUUCUGCCAUAAAGAAGGAUCAUCAGAAAAAACUCAAUGCUAUAAGCUUCCGGUAAAUCGAAAUCAUCAGAAAAGUAGGCUUACAUAUGUGUGGCAUUUGGAGGUAAUUCGUAUGGUAUUUCACCCAUUAUGCUGUUGGGAACUGAUAUCACUAAAAAACCAGAACGGAAUUAAUUAACCAAUAGAAUGGGAAGUAAAUCAUAUCUUGACAAUAUAGUAAACCAACCAUCCUGAUAAGAGCUUCAAACAUAAAACGACUUACAAUAUCUCAAAUUUUGUAGAUUAUACAGCGAGGAUCCAAGAUAUCCGGUAAGGUUCAAUCCUUGAAUUUUGCUGCAGGGGGACCGACAGGGCAAGUAUAAGGUUUCUUUAGUUGCAUUAUGGGGGAUAGUGAUAUUAUCUAACCAGAAAAAAUCAUAAUUUUGAAGUGAUAUAGUAUAGUUAGAGCCUAGGUGCAUUGAAGUGUAUAUCAUUUACGAUCCCUAUUUAAAAUCUUGAUUAUCAGUAAGAAUAUGUGCAUUUACAGAUGUAUACUGAGGAGUCAGAACAAGCUACUCCUGUCCAAUACUCCUCACAAGAUCACCACCGUUCCAUCCGUGUAGCCCUUGAGGUUGUUUAAGCUCCUGUAUAGAUCCUGGAGGGCUGUAACUGUUUAUAAAAAGAAUUGCAAAUAAUAUUUAGUUUAGUUAGAGCAUAAAAAUGAUAUAUAUGCUUCAAGUGUGAUCUAUAACAAAAUUAGUUCAUUUAAUUUGAAGUGAAGCAUGGAAUUUUUUGUUUUCUCAGGUUCAAAUCUAACCCUCAUAAAUACAUGAAUUUUCUAAAUCAACCACAUCUUCAAUUAUCUCUAUAUCAAUUUAGCAUUACUGACAAAAUCAGCUACUCUGCUUGCCUACAUUAGCACGGACACCGGAAACACGACACUGACACGUCGAGUCAAUAGUAAUUUGAAAAGAUUAAUAAAUUAAACAUAACAACAAGUAUCAGUGUCGAUUUUGCACACACUGAAACAAACACACAUUUUUUAGACGUGUCGGUGCUACAUAUCUAAAUAAUCCUAAUAGGAUAUUGUUCUUCAAUGUUAUCUUGAAAGUGGAUUUAACUCAAAGAUAUCGCAAAACCUAGUUCUGAAUUGCAGCCACAAUAAAAAGUUUUAGAAAUCCUCUGCAAUUUCGGCCGUAUUUUCUGCAUUUCCGCCAAUAUCAAGUUUACUGAACAACUGCAACCGAUUGCAAUUUAGAAAUCAUGAAGCAAAGCUAUAUUUCAGUUGAAUUUUGCAUGCACACACCAUAUCAUUUUGAAAGCAACUAACUAUCCAAACGCAAAUCUAGUGAAAAAAAGAAAUAGUUACCGUCAAAUGGAUUGGUGAAUGCGAAGCCGUAAGAAAUCAAAGUUGCUGAGAACACAAGGAAGACGAGAUUCACGUAACAAAUCAUUUCUUCUUUGUUUCUUGUUGUUACUGAUUGAAACUCUUGUUUUCUCUCAAUUUUCCUCAAAAACGAAACUGAAUCGAAUAGAAUCGAUGAAGACCAAGGUUCGAAGGGCAUGUUAUGAAGCGAGCCUGCACGGAUCCAAUCAGUAGUGAAAAACCACACAGGAUAAGAAUCAUACAUAUAAUGGGGGAAGGGUUAGGGUUUAGGGGAAGAAUCUUUCACACACAGGAUAAACAAGCGCUCUGAUUGAGGGUUGGAAGAAGGGGAGUGGAUUUGGGAGAAAGAGAAGCAAGCUCUGAUUGAGGGUUGGGAGAAGAAUGUAGGAUUUUAGGAUUUGGGAGGGAAUAACUUUUUUUUCGUGACAUGGAGGGAAUAAAGACUUUAGACAGCGCUUUUGGUUUUAAUUUUUUUUUUAAUAUAAAGACUUUAGACAGCGCUGACUAAGGUCUAUAUUUAAAAGCGCUUUCUAAAAGCCUGUCUAAGGGGGGUCUUAGACAGCGCUUUUAGAAAGCGCUGUCUAAGACCCCCCUUAGACAGCGCUCUCAUUAUUUUUUUGGAACAUUUUCCGUGUUUUAUUUUAAUUUUAACCUUAGACAGCGCUUUCUUUUAAAAGCGCUGUCUAAGAUGCGCUGUUAAAAGUCAUUUUUGGCGUAGUGCAUAUUCAUUUUUCCAAAUUAUUUUCCUUGGCAAACUUCUUUCUUGUAUGAACUCUCAAUACUUCAUGGUCUUAACCAUAUUCUUAUUCCAAUAUUGGAUUAACGUUUAACUUUUCUCUCACUUAAUUCAUCUGAUAUACCGCUCUAAAUCAUUUGGUCACUUUUCUUUUGGAAACCACGACUACCCUUUUUAUACCGAGUCCAUAAAACAUAACCACGACACAUGAUUUUGAUUUAGAUAAUCAACACUCUUCAGAGCUUCACAAGAUAAUUUACUGAUUCUUUGACUCCACGCCAUACUGACGACUCUUCUCUUAUAAAUUCUUCAGUAAUUGUGACAACUUUUAUAGUCUAUCUAGUGAUAUCCUUAUCAACUUCACUUGGUCUGAUUCUAUAUGCUACAAGCGUCUACUCCUACUGUUUCACUUUUCUCGUACUACUCCAAUAAGAUGAUACCAUUAGCAUGAGAUUGUCAUACACCAAUUCUUAUGAGUAACUAUCUCUCUGAUCCUCAUAAACUUGAUUGAGCUCUUUCACCCAUCACCUUCCACUGUGCUACUAUGAUUUCAAUAGUGGAACACCUGGGAUUCCUAGGCACUACUGGUUAGCUAACAGUCUGCAUAGAAGGUCACGCUUAUCCUCUAGAGUGCCCACCACCCAAAACAUUUCUAGGACCUCACUAACAUCCAUUAGUAGAAUAAAUUUCUUGCUGACACACCAAGGUUUAGAAUAUGACCAACACCCUCCAUAUGAUAGAUAUGCAAGUGAUAACAUGAAAUAAUAUCACAUUCUAGGACUCGACUUAAUUAAAUUAUAUUAUUAUUUACUUCAAUUUACUUCAUUUUAUUCGAUAUUACUCGGUAUUUUCUUUCUAUUUAUCUCAGGUAGCUUAUUUGAAGCACAAGUGAAAAAGGAAGAAAAUGAGGUGCAAAAAGAAAUGAAAAGAAGCAAAUUCCACCAAGCCAAAGCCCAGCCCAAAAGCAAGGCGCUGCGCCCGUGACGAGCGUCACACAAGCUGUGACGAACGUCACGCCCUACCUACUUGUGUUACGAGUGUAACACAUGGUGUGACGUACGUCACACCAUUCCCCUAUAUUUUUGGCUUCAGAAGCGCAACAAAGACGUUGAGGCCUAUUGUUACGCUUGACCAUUUGCAACGUGAAGACUCUUUACACGGAAGACCUUUGGAAACAGUUACAACAAGUGACCAAUAUAAAUAGUAGCUUUUGGCAAACCCUGCGGGACUCUCCGCUUCGUUCAAUUUUCUUCUUCCAGCCGUGCAAGCAUACCAUUAUUUUUCCUUUACUGUUUUUGCUUUUAAUUGCAAUUCUUAUUUUUACUUUCCUUUCCAGUUAAUCUUUCAGCACUUAAUUAAUUUUUCGCACAAUAGUUUCUACACCGGAAACUAUUGUGUAUCUUUUACUAGAUCUAACCUUACGUUAGACCCUAGACUUUUAUUCCUUCACUUUUAUUUUCCCGUCCGAUUGAAGAAUUCAAGAACAAAUCCAACCGGUCUGUGGUGGAGUGUUCAAGAUUGCUAUAAAUUAUUCAGGUUCUUUAAUUAUUGUUUGAAUUUAUAUAUGCUCUGCUUUACUGUUUAUUUAUAUUAUUUGCCUGAGAUGGAAUUAUUUAUGCAUGCUGAUUAUUUAGAUCUGUUAAGCAUGUCUGGCUAAUUUAUUUAGGUAUCGGUAUGUAGAGUAAGCGGAAUGAAGGAAUCAAAACUAAGUUGGUUUAAUUACAUUUAAAAAUAAAAUCACUCUUUUUACGGUCUCAAUUUACAGGUUUAAUAACAAGGUUUUGUACGAAAGUAAAAGACAUAAAGAAGUUAAAAUCAAUAGAACGAGAGUUUGAGUUUUUAACUGGACAGUGUAAAUUGGACAUUAAUUCUAGAUCAGGGCGAAAGCAAUUUUUAGAGUUAAUUAAAUUCUAAUCUNNNNNNNNNNNNNNNNNNNNNNNNNNNNNNNNNNNNNNNNNNNNNNNNNNNNNNNNNNNNNNNNNNNNNNNNNNNNNNNNNNNNNNNNNNNNNNNNNNNNNNNNNNNNNNNNNNNNNNNNNNNNNNNNNNNNNNNNNNNNNNNNNNNNNNNNNNNNNNNNNNNNNNNNNNNNNNNNNNNNNNNNNNNNNNNNNNNNNNNNNNNNNNNNNNNNNNNNNNNNNNNNNNNNNNNNNNNNNNNNNNNNNNNNNNNNNNNNNNNNNNNNNNNNNNNNNNNNNNNNNNNNNNNNNNNNNNNNNNNNNNNNNNNNNNNNNNNNNNNNNNNNNNNNNNNNNNNNNNNNNNNNNNNNNNNNNNNNNNNNNNNNNNNNNNNNNNNNNNNNNNNNNNNNNNNNNNNNNNNNNNNNNNNNNNNNNNNNNNNNNNNNNNNNNNNNNNNNNNNNNNNNNNNNNNNNNNNNNNNNNNNNNNNNNNNNNNNNNNNNNNNNNNNNNNNNNNNNNNNNNNNNNNNNNNNNNNNNNNNNNNNNNNNNNNNNNNNNNNNNNNNNNNNNNNNNNNNNNNNNNNNNNNNNNNNNNNNNNNNNNNNNNNNNNNNNNNNNNNNNNNNNNNNNNNNNNNNNNNNNNNNNNNNNNNNNNNNNNNNNNNNNNNNNNNNNNNNNNNNNNNNNNNNNNNNNNNNNNNNNNNNNNNNNNNNNNNNNNNNNNNNNNNNNNNNNNNNNNNNNNNNNNNNNNNNNNNNNNNNNNCAAACAAGACCUUAGACAGCGCUUUUUUUAGCCUUAGACAGCGCUUUAAAGCGCUGUCUAAACCUCCGCUGCUAAAGGUUUAGACAGCGCUUUUUUAAAUCUUAAAAGCGCUGUCUAAGCCCCCCCCCCCUUAGACAGCGCUUUGGCCAAAAGCGCUUUAUAAGACCCUCUUAUUUUAAAUUUUUAGGUAUACCUUAGACAGCGCGCUUUUGAAAACGCUGUCUAAGCCCCACCCCCUUAGACAGCGCUUUGGCCAAAAGCGCUUUCUAAGACCCUCCUAUUUAAUUUCUUUUAGGUAUACCUUAGACAGCGCUUUUCAAAAAGCGCUGUCUAAGCCCCCCCUUAGACAGCGCUUUUUUACAAAGCGCUGUCAUCUCUCCGCGCUUUCAUUAUUUUUUUGGAACAUUUUCCGUGUUUUAUUUUAAUUUUAACCUUAGACAGCGCUUUCUUUUAAAAGCGCUGUCUAAGAUGCGCUGUUAAAAGUCAUUUUUGGCGUAGUGCCUAUUUCUUGUCCAACACAUAUAUUCUUCUAUAUUAAUAAGAGUCAACAACAUUUGAAUUUCCGUCAAUGGACCUCUCUUAUUCAAUUUAUAUGUAUCUCUAGCUCUAUACACUUGGGUAACACUAGUGAGGUUUUCCGGAUCUUUUCUUUCGAGUGUUCUUGCUAAUUUACCCUUCACUUUUGAAGGAUAAGUGUUCUUGCUCUAUAAAAUUGCCGAUCAUUAUGGCCUAGUUUGUUGUUUCCAUAUCAGUACCUAGUUUAGAUGGAUACUUGAGUUUUACAUUCCUUAUUUUGUCUAUUUUCACACCAGUACCUAGUUUAUAAUACUGAUCAUUAUGACCUUGUGAUUGAAUCAUGCCGAUCAUUAUUCUUUUCAUCUCCCAUUGCACUAAAAAUUGAUUCAUGCAUCUAUUUAUUCUAAUUUUACAUUCCUUUGAAGCAUUAAUUCACUAUUUGUUUUCUUUUUCAAAUCAAAAUAAGUUAUUCCAUAUCAAACUUAGUAGAAAUCACAUUUGUUUCAAUAUAAUUUGAAUGUACUCGUUAGCAUUUCAUCAUUGGUUAGUUUUUUAAAACUUAAUAUAUUUAUCAGGGGUUAUAAACAUUUGUAAUUUGUUUUUAAAUUAAGUGUAAAAUAAAUAAUGACAGUUUGAAACCAUCGCAAUAAGCAAUCAAAUCAAAACACAUAAUAAAAUUCAUGACAAUUUGAAACUAUUUCAAAUAACUAAUUAAGGAGGUUCGCUACCCGUUGCAAAUAAUAACGACAGUUGGUAUGGAUGUUUUUGCAACAGUCGCACUACAUACUGAUGACACAUGCUUCUGAGGCUUAACCAAAACCGUUGCGACAUUACUGUUGUGGUGGUUCAAACCGCCGUAACUUUCCAAAAUUACUGUCGUAACUUGCCAUUUUUCAUGAGUACGCCUCCACCUUUUAAUGGUGAAAGGUUUGAUACAUGUAAAAAUAGAUUAAAAACAUUUUUUGAAGCUAUUGAUUUUGAAUUAUGGAAUUUUGUUAUAAAUGAUAUGUUUGAUUAUACUCUUUUAUUAAUAGUGAAGUAGUAAAUAAGCCUAAUAAUCUAUGGACUAAAAGAGAUAAGAGAAAAAUCAAAUUAAGUUUUAAAUCUAAGUAUUUGAUGAUAAGUGCAUUAAGAACUAGAGAGUACAUCUAUUUUUAACUGUAAUACUGACAAGGAAUUAUGUGACACUUUUGAAAUGAUACGUCGAGAUCAAGAGAGGGGGAAUAUACCUAUUCAAGAAAAUAAGACACCAUGUAAAAGUGAAGGUUACCUUCAAAGGAGAGUUAUCAAACAUUUCAAUAUUUAAAAUCUAUUUCACAAACUCUAUUUAAAAAAAAUAUUAGAUUUAAGAAUUGGUAUCAGAAGUCUAACUCAUUACUUGAUUCCAAAGGUAGAAAACUUGUGAUGAAUUUCGUGAAAAAUCCAUGAAGGAGGAGAUCUUCUUGAAACUUGAAGAGUUGAGUUAUUUAUUAAAAGAUGAAAAUAAGAAUUCGAUAAUAGUAAUAAUAAUAUAAUAAUAUGCAUCUUCAGAGCUAUAUGAAGAAAAUUUUGAAAGAACAACACCAUAAGUAUCAUUUGAAGGAAAUAUCACUGUGUAUGAAAGAUCCUAUGAAGAAUCAACAUCCGAAAGAUUUUUGGAAGUAUCACCAUUGGGAAGAUCAUUUGGAGAAUUGUUAUAUCAAGAGAUUCUCCUAAAGCAUAUUUAAAUAGAUAAAAGAAAGAUGAAGAGGAACAUGUGUGCUUCAAAGCUACCUACGAAGAAUAUGAAAUCGAGAUAACUACUCUCUCCUAGAUGAAAAUGUUUAAAUCAAGUGUUAAGGUUAGUAAGAAAAUUGAGAAAUUAGAAAGAUAUAUCGUAGAAUUUAAAGAUCAUAUUAAAUUUCUUGAAAAUAGUAAUGAAAUGAUUGGAAAUGAAUUAGUUGAUUUUAUAAGGCAAUCAUUAAAAUCUAGCAAAUAUGAAACCAAUUAUUUUUUUUGAAAAAUGAAGUCAAUAGUUUGAAUGAAACCCUAAGUAAAUUUACAAAGGACAAAGAAAAUUUAGAUUUAAUCUUAUGGAAUCAAAGGGCUUCAUAUAAUAAAAAAGGAUUAGGUUAUCAACCUAAUAAAUUAUUUUUAGAAAAGGGGUGAAAACCAAGAGAAAGGGAUGCAUAAAACAAGACAAGGAUCAAACCAUCUCAUAGGACAAAACAAACCAAUGAAGCUGAAAUAUCCUCAUUUAAUCGAUUAAAUCUAAAUGGAUAAUUGAUUAAAGAUUAAAUAUUCUUCUAAUCCAAUUCUUUAAAGAAAAAAUAAAUGGAUUAAGAAAUCACAUCCUUAAUUAAAUCUUCAGCAAAUCCUCAUUAAAUUUAUUCGCAAUCAAAAAGCACCGCGAAAGCCGCACACGUAUCAUGAUCGUAAUAAACAACACGCUCUCUUUGAAAACCUUUCAUAGAGAAAGGAAACAAAGGAGAAAUAGGGUUCCAUUCCGAAGAUGAACCACUAAUAUCCUUAAAAUUUCCACUAAACCCUAAAGGGAUAUACCCAAAGCUACAUAACAAACUACCAUUUUCACUCAACUCUGGUGGUGACCGUACCACCACCGCAUGAAACCCAUUCCUACAAUUCUGACACCGGAGUGUACACUCCUGAUAAACAUUAGGAUACUCAAACAUUGCAUGACAUUAAGGGCACACCAUCCAAAAGCUUUUAGCUUCAGUGUCAGCAGGCUUAGGCUCAGUCUGCUCGUCAACAUUGCUUUGACUCGGCCCAGUCUGCUCGUCGACAUUGUGCCGACUCUGCCUCGACCCAUGGUUUUGUCCCUCGGCAAGUACGUCAUAUUGAUUGGAAGACCUAGGGUUGUUCCUAUGUUGAAGGACAUGCUUUUGAUUGACCUAAACUGGAGGAGGAGGUUGAAUAGGUUGUGGUUGCGGUUUCGGAUUUGGUGGUGGUGGUGGUUGUGAUGGCGAUUGAAUAGGUUGCGAUUGAAUAGGUUGGUGGUAGUCGCGUCAUUGAAUUAAGUUUUGAAUUGAUUUGUUUUUUGCAUGCAUAAUUCAAUUAUUUGAAUUUGAGUUUGAUCAUGAUACUUUUAGUCAAUUGAUUGAGUUAGUGAAACGAAAACUAUAUGUGGUGUUGGUUCAAGUUAGGUUGAAAGGAAAAUCUUAAAGUGUUUUGAAAAUCAUGAAAAAUUGAGAUUUUAUAUGCAUGACCCGAAUCAUGUACAUAUCCUAACUAAAAUCAAAUUGAACAGAGGCGAACAAAAACUUUUCAAAACCUAUAGCUCGAAUCACACUUUUAACUUGAUUCGAAUCGGGUUCAGGAGUCGGUUAUACGAGGGAAAUGUAUUAGCACCCUUCACAUCCGUUGUAUUCAAUGGGAAUCAUUUAGUUAGUUUUGUGUGAGGUGUUAGCUUAAAAAUGUUUGUGCUUACUCUUAUUUAUUCAUUGCUGAAAGAAAAUGAAGUUCAAAAUGGUUUUUUUAAUAGGGUGUUUAACGAGACGCUGAAUAUCGCUCUACGUCCUCUACUGUGAUGAGGAAUUCAAAGCUACGUAGUUAUUUGUAGAAAAUGAUUGUUUGUUGGUUUAUUUUAGCGAAAGAUGUUUAUGUCGCAUUCUAGAAGUUAAACAUUUCUUAUAUAAUCGCGCAUGAGAGACAUAAGCGUUUAUUUGAAUCAUGGUAGAAUGUAUAAAAUAUCAUUCAUUUAAGAAAAAGUUUGCGGUCAUACUAGUGUGGAAAAAGAUUGGUUUAAUUGGUUGAAAUGGUUUUUAAGUAGAUGACGAGCAUUAAAAAAAUAAGCUCUACAACAAAUAUCCAAUACUCGGGGAAGAAAGAGGCCUACUUAGUGCAUUUUUAGCUUGAAUUUGAUUUGAAAAUUUGUGCAUCAAGCUCUUCCAAUCAAUUUCCUUAUAAGGUGUCAAUCGAAUGGACUUACCUCAGUUAGCCUCCUUGGUGCAUUUUAUGUCGUGUGAUGGAUUUUGUGGUUCUUGUACACCCCAGUUCAGUUUUAUUUGCACCUAAUUUCGAUGAAACACUUAGAAACUCCUCUUUUUGGUUAGUGGACAUCAUUUAUCGAGAUGCGCAAAAUUAAAAACACUAUUUUUAAAGAUUAAUCGAAUUUUUUCUGAUCAUUUCAAUCAUAAAAAAAUGUACUACCUCAAGUAUCAAAAGCACAUCCCAGUGAUCGAUUACAUAUUACUCACCAAUGAUAUUUUACAUUGGUUGUAAAGGUUAAACUCACAACCUCUUAGUAUGUGAGACAACUCCUUACCAACUGAGUCAACCUUCAUUAGUGUUGGAUAGCGAUGAAUACAGGUUGGAUUGAACUUUGUUUGGUCUAAUCCGUUAUCCAAUUCGUUCAAACUUUAAUGAGUUGAGUUCAUUGUCCAACCCAAAAUUUCAAAAUCAAACCAAACAAAAUUGACCUGUUCAUUUAUGAGUUGGAUUAGGUUGAAUUUGUGGGUUGUGUUUCAAAUAAAAAAUAAUUUUUUAAAUAAUUUUUUUCAAUUAUAAAAAAAUAAUAACACAAUUCGAUAAAAUUAUACUUAUUUGUAACACUCAACUUGUAUGAAACACAUUAUGUAAUGUCCAUAAAAUUCAUCCCGUUGAUAAUAGUAGAAAAUUUCACAAAACACCUAAAUAAGAUACGUAACGUGAAAAUUAUACAAAAUUAAAUUAUAAAUAAUAUUUAAUCUUAGAAUUUUUUAAAUUCAUGGUCUAGUUGUAAUAGUAUUGAUGUUAAAUAGAUGUAUUAUUUUGGAAAAAUUAUGAUUAAUACUGAUUAUUGUGAAUCGAGUUGGAUAUACCCAUAAAUAAGCAAGUUCGAAUAAUUUAUGAAUUUGUUCAAUUUAAAUCAAUAGAUUUACGGGUUAACUCACAUCAAUGAACACUCCUAUAAAUAAUUUUAAACUUGUGGUUGGACGAUGCAUUUUAUAAAUUGAAAUUUAUGUAUUUAUUUUUUCAUUUGAUAGCAGCCAUACAAUAGUAUGUGUACAUAAAUUUGUACAAAGACAUAUAUGCUAUACUCCGCAGCAACAUAGGGCUCCUUGACAAGCGCUACGGAAAGUGAUACCCUUUUGUGCACAACUCUUAAUACACUCUUGAGGAUGAUCUGGACACAAAUCAGGUCGUUUCUCACAGUCUUGUGGCGAAGGAGCGUCAUUUAAUCUUUCUUUUGUUCCAAUCACUUUAUAUGUGCCUACAAAUAUAUAAAAAUUAAUACCAGAGUUAUUGUUUAUAUACUUUGAUAGAGAUACAAUUAUACGAUCAAUUAUUUUACAUCAAAAUUUAAAUUAAAUUAACGUAGAAAAAUAACAUGUAAAUUUAAGGAUACCUUGAGUCAGUACGGAAACGAUGCACACAAUUACAAUGAAAAGAUACAUACGAUUGGUAGGGAUUGCCAUGUUUUCAGUUUUCAGUUUUCAAUGAAAAUCAACAAACACCUAGGGACUAUUUAUUGAGACAAAUGAGAAUAGUUAUGGAAAUAAAUCUUAAUAGUUUCUUUCAGUCAAAAAGAAAUAGUUUAUCAUUUCAUUUUUCUUAAUUUUAAUUUUUUAUGAUAAAUUAAUGCAUUAAUUUGGUAAAUAAUAAUAAUAAAUUCAUUCAAUUUUAACAAAAUAUAAUUUCUCCUAUUGAGUCAACAAAAAUUAUUGUAUUUCGUUCGUAUGUUAAACCAAAUACAAUAAAAAAAUCAAAUACAUCAAAUUUUGUUGAUUCUAAUAUCUCUUACAAAAAAAUAUUCAUAGUAUCAAAAAUUUAUUUUCAUUUUUAAUAGAUUUAAUAUAUUGAUUAAUUUGAGUUAUUUAGUGUAACUUGUCAAAAUUUAAAUUUGUAAAAAAUGAGUUAAAAAUAAAAUAAUUUAUUUUGAAUUUAAGUAAUAUGCAUUAUCAGUGUAAAAUAGUUUUAUAUUAUCAUCUAAUAAAAAAUUAAAAAUUUGUCAUAUCAUUAAAAUAAUUUAAAAUUUAAAUGUGAGUUGAUGUAAUACACGUCACUGAUUGAUUUUGUAUAAUUAUACCAUAUUGACGAUACAUAUUCUAUUUUCUCAUAUAUUAAUUUAAAAUUGGUUUAAAAUGUUAAUUUAUUUUAAAAUAAAAUCAAGUAGAAUUAUAAAAUUAUAUUGUUUGAUUGGUGAAAAAAUAUCAAUAUUUAACUAAAUUCAAAGAUCCCAGACUGUUCACCUUUAAUAAAUUCAGUCAAAUGCUAAGGAAAAAUUCAAUUUAAUUUUCAUUUAGUGACUUACUAAAUUAUGUUCAAAAAUCAAUAAUAUCUUUGACCAAAAAGCUCAGUAAAACGUUAAAAUAUUCCGGAUAUGCAUCUCUAGAUUAUUUUGGAGGUUAAAUCGCGUCAGAUUCCUUUCCUUCCCCAUUUUUCAUUUUACUCAAACUCAACUUCAAACUCUCUCAACUUUUUUUCUCUACACCAAGUCAAAACUCAAUCAACAAGGCUCAAGGAAACUUCAAUCAACAUCUGUAACACCAGAACAACAUUAGAAACAUCAAUUUCGUAUGUUUUUUGAGUUUCUAUGUAAAUGAGUAAAAAUCAUUGAUUAAGGUUAGAAAUGAGUAAAAAUAUCAAAUUUAAGAUAAUUUAGACAUAGUGCAUUAGACGUGGGUUGACUAAAAAGAAUGAUCAAAACAUGUUUUUUGAGACUUCAUGGGGUACAUUGACGCCAUUAACGCAACUUCUGAGUUGUAUAAAAUUCUAGAGAUGCAUCUCUAGAAUUUUUCAGCGUUUUAGUUUCCCAGAUUCCAGUGGAAUUUUCUCAGUACUUUUUUAAAAAAAAAUCUUGCUUGUGGUGUUGUUUGCCUCACUAGUUUUCCGCUUUACUUUAACUUACAUGAAUAAUGGAUGAUAGAUACGAUAGACUGAGGCACGAAAGAGUUGCUCAACACACAUCAGUGCAACGGAAGAAAAGUCAACAGGUUUCAGAGGCUCCUAGUCCCUCUGGUAAUGCAGAACUAUCUACUUAUGGGGCCCGUGCUACCCCUCAUGUCACUUAAUCUUCUUCUUCCCUUAGGAGGCGCGAUUUACCAUCUGACGCAUUACUCCCUCCAUUCUUCUGCAGGCACCAGGUACCCGAUUCACCAGUGCCACCUCCUAAUGUAUAUGCUUUUGAGUUUGUGCCACCUCUUACUCCUGAUGUUGUUGAUCCAAUGCCACCUUUAGUGGUUGCGGGUGCUGAGCCAGAGGCAUUUGGAGGAGGCUUUUUUGAUUUGUCAUUACUGCCUCUGUACCUAGACCAUAUUGCCAGACAUAUAUGGGAAGGAGAGGUAGCAUUAGUUCAAUUCAUUCUUUUUUUAUUUACGUUAAUUUUAAUUGACAAAUGUCUGACAUUGCUUUUUUUUUCAUAAGCGUGAUCCGCAGAAGUUUAUUAACAACAUGCGAAAGAUUAUUGGCUUGCCUUAUCCGAAUGAUGAUUGAUUUUAGGGGGUUUUGUCCUUAUUUGGCCUGAAGGAGUUGUGCAUGAUCGGUUAUACUACGGUAAACCACGGGAUGCUUAAUGCAUCCGUGGAUAGAUAGCACUCAGAGACCUCAUCAUUUCAUCUCCCGCUUGGUGAGAUGACUAUCACACUCGACGAUGUCUCGUAUUUGUAACAUCUUCCUAUUGGGGGGAGACUCCUAGAUCAUGGGAGGAUUACCAAAGACGAGACAUAUCAGAAGAUGGUAGGCUAUCUAGGGGCUAACCCAAGGGAGGAGAAUGAGGAGUUGGAUAGGAUCAGGGGCGCUCAUGCUAGGUAUGAAUACCUGAAGAAGAUAUAUACAGUUGAGCUACAUAGAGCAUAUCAGGCCACAAGUGAUGAUGAGCAGGUGGGGCUCAACAUAGCGCAUGCUAUGAGAGCAUACAUGCUAUAUUUGGUUGGCACUGUCAUUUUUUUUGGACAUGAGUGCCGCUUAAAAAAGAAUAUAUUAGUUUGAACAUAUUAUAUUAUUUUAAUUUUCAUUUUGAAAAUAGUUUACUUUUGAGUUCCAUUUUAAAAAUAAUAUACUUUUUAAGUUCCGUUUUUUAUGUUCAAAUAAUAUACUUUUAAGUUCCAUUUUAAAAAUAAUAUAUUUUUAUGUUCAAAAAGUUAAUAUACUUUUAAGUUCCAUUUUAAAAUACUAUACUUUUAUGUUCAAAAAGUUAAUAUGCUUUUAAGUUAAAAUGUCUAUUUUCUGAUUUAAGAAAAUAAUAUAUUUUGAACGGAAUCUUUUAAAAUCUAUUGUUUAAGAUAUUUUAAUAUUUUAACUUAAAAAAAUAUCUACAUUGAAAAAAUGUUAAUGUCUCUAUAACAAUCCAACUUUCUGAUAGGUACAAUCUCAAAUAUUAAAUCGAUUGAAAUAUUAAAGGAUAAUUUAUUUUAUGAGUGUAAGAGAUUUUUUAUUAGCAUUAUAGUAUUAGCUGGCUUCUUUUGGUAAGUUUUUUAUUUUUAAUUUUUACUAUGAAAAAAGUGUCAGUACAAAAUGUAAACAAAAUCGACAAAAUACACGUUUUUUUAUUUUUUUAUUUUUAAUUUUUACUAUGAAAAAAGUGUCAGUACAAAAUGUAAACAAAAUCGACAAAAUACACGUUUUUUUACUCAAGUGCAAAAUAAAAAAGACAUCAAAAAAAGAGAUAAUUCUGACGCAUUCAACAAAAAUUUAAAUGUUUUGAUUUAUUUACUUUUACAAAUUAAGAAAAGAAAAAAUAAGAAAAAAAAUAUUUUUUUUGUUAAUGCAAUAUUUGUAAUAAUAUACAAUUUUAAAAAGUAAAAAUAAAACUAUGAGUAAAAUAGAAAUGUGCAUAUUAAACAAUGUUUUUUUUUUCAUUUUGUCAUCUCAAACAGUUUCCAAAAUAAGAUUAGAAAAAUGUUUUAAAUUACUUUCUCUUCAAUUUAUUUAAAAAAUUAUUUAUAAAAUAUAUUUUAAUAACUAAAAAGAUAAUCUCAUUCAAACAAAUUGUAAACUUUUUAAAUCUUAAUUUAAUGACGCAAAAUACAAAUACAUUAUUUUUAAUCAUAGUAGGAAAAAGGGUUUUUGCAGAUCAAAAGAAAAGAGAAAAAAUGAAAGAACUUUAAAUUAUGAUUAUAAAUAAAUUAAUAUUUUAAAAGAAUCUAAUAUAUUUAUAAAUAAAUGUGUACACAGAGGAAUACUAGAGCACUUAUACCCACUCAAUUUUGCUAAAAACUAUCGUAUUUAAUUAAUUUCGUUAAUAAUUAUCUUACAUAAUUUUGAAUAAGUGAAUCCAAACACGAGAGAUGAUGAAUUGUGAAAUGCACAAAUCAUAAUUAAUAAAAAAAGUUUACUUUUAGAAUAGUUUAUGUUAGUUCAGAGGUAAAUGCAGUGGAAACUAGAAAGAAGAAAAUUGUAAAAUCUCACCUCAUUUCUAAGCCUGGCAUUUACAAUGAGAUAGUAUCAAUAUUAAUAUGUUUGAGAACAUAGUUGGCAAUUUGGAAGAACCUGAGGGGGGGCAAUUGUGUAUCUUUCAUAAUCAAGUAUAAAAGUAAAAGAAUUCCUCUCAUUUUCAUCUUGAGAAUGUGUGUGUAAGAGAGAGAGGUAAAUGAGUAUCAAGUUCAUAAUCGUCUUGCAUGUAGAAGUGAAGAGAAUUUAUUGAAUGUAGAAGUAAAUAAUGCUUCUUUUCUAACUUAGAAAAGAAGGAAAUGGAUCAAGGAUCAUCAUCAAUCCUCUCAUCAUCUUUAGUUCAUAAUCGUCUUGCAUGUAGAAGUGAAGAGAAUUUAUUGAAUGUAGAAGUAAAUAAUGCUUCUUUUCUAACUUAGAAAAGAAGGAAAUGGAUCAAGGAUCAUCAUCAAUCCUCUCAUCAUCUUCAUCAAAUUUAGAACCGACUCUUGAGGUGAGGUUCUUUAGAACUUAAUUUUGGAUAGAGAAAACUAGGAUGAAAUGCAUGUUGGCUUUUAAGUUGAAAUAGACAUGAUUGAUUUUGACUACAUGUUGAAUGUGUGAUGGUUGAAUGAGAUACCAUGUAUUUCUAUGAUGAAUAUGUGAAAUAAUGUUUGUGAUUGUGUUCAAUUGAUACCACACGGUUGCAUGAUGAAUCUAUGUUAUAUUUGAAUCUUGUGUGUUGGAUAAUUGUUCUUCUUGAAUGUUUUGUGUGUUUUUAGAAAAAUUACUUCGGUAAGAUCUUUUUACGGCCACCCCAUAACACUUUGUGAUCAAAUGGUAAAAAGUAUGGAAAAAUUAGAGCCAUAAUACUUUGUAAUAUUCAUCUUGUAAUACUAGCUGCCUAGAAACAUAGUAGCUUGUAAUCUGCAUAUUUUGAGCUAGGAAACUCAAAUUGAGGGGAGGUCAACUGUGUUAGAAAGCAAACAUAAAUAUACAAAUAAUUGCACAACUUUUAUGACCAUUAGGUGUCAACCCUAAUUGGUGGUACUCAAAUGGUAAUACUUAUGAUAUGAUGUAUUGUGGAUCUGAAUGAUCUAAUGGACAUACGCCUUGAUUUCGUUCUAUGUUAUGGAUCAGAAUAAUUCAAGGGACCUAAUCCUUGAUUCUAUUCUAUAUUAUGUUAUGGAAAUAGAAUAGACAAAGCCCCUACAUCUUGAUGUUAUUCUAUGACAUGUUAUGAAUUUGAUGAUCAAAUGGAGCUACGCCUUGACUUGAGUACUAGACAAAGCCCCUACAUCUUGAUGUUAUUCUAUGACAUGUUAUGAAUUUGAUGAUCAAAUGGAGCUACGCCUUGACUUGAGUACAUGUUAUGAAUAUGAUGAUAAAUGGACCUACGCCUUGACAUCAAUACAUGUUAUGAAGCUGGUGAUAUGGGAAUCUACGCCUUGACUUUAGUACAUGUUAUGAUGGAUGGAGAUCAGGGGACCCACACCUUAACUUUCUUGGACAUGUGACUUCACAUACAAGAGGGAGUGAAUUGUGUGUUUCAGAAAAAUUUGAUUUUAAAUUUUUUAUAGAAUUAAUUUCAAAGUUUAAAAAAAAAUAGAAAAGUUUUGAAAGUGAUAAGUGGGAAAUAAAAUUCAUAUGGUAAAUUCAAGAAAGUAAAAGUUAAGAGUAAAGAGAAAAUACCAUAAGUUAUAGAGGUUCGGAUAAAAGAAAAAGACAUAAUCCUCUCCAAGAUUUGUUCCUGAGAGUAUCCAAUAAACUUAAGAUCUUUUAUUAGGUUGAACUCUUGAACCCUUUUAUACAAGAAAAAUGAAGUUUGUGGCUAACUUCCACCAAAACAAUAAACGCGAAGAGAAUCAUUGAGUCUUCCAUUUAAAUAAUGGUUCGAAGCGGUUAGUCUCCUUUCCACAAGAAACUUAGAGCGAUUAGUCUUCAAGCUUCAAACCAAUAUUCUACAUGUGUUGAUCUUGAACCUGGGUGAGCAUUUAACACCAGGAUGAACUCACGAACCUAGAAAAUUUUAUAUCAGACUGAUCUCCAACCUUAGGAAGAUGAUAUUUAUCCUUAGCCUGAUCUCGAACCGAAUGAAGUCUUUUGAAUGGCCUAAGCCUUUGAACCGAACGAGUUACUUAAUAAUUAAAUCCCCAAAACCAAAAUUUCAAUGGUUUUAGCUUUGAACCCCAAUAAAUAAUCCCUAAAUGGAUGAAAUAAUCCCAAUAAAAAUAUCUUAGAGAGAGAGAGUGUGUGUGUAAAGAGUAAGGAGUGAAAGAUCAUGUAUCUGGAUGUGGAAAUAUGUGGGAAGGUAUAUUUAUUUAUAGGCUAGAGGUUGACACAAAAAAGGAAAAUCUUUGUGGUCAAAAUUAAUGAUCCAAUCGAUUGGGUGGCCUAAAAACAGUCAUUUAGUUUGUUUUAAAAGGAAAGAAAAGACCUAUGUUUAAGGCACAUUUUUCACUGACCCAAUCGAUUGGGUGAAGUGUCAAUCAAUUGGCAGGAACAAAAAUUUCCCCAUAAAUUUUCUGACAGUUCCUAAAUCAUCUAGCAUGACUUCAUGACUUCAAUACAUAAGCCAAUAUCCAAAUACUCGGGGAAGAAAGAGGCCUACGCUCAAUUAAUCCUUUUUCAUCCAAUUUUUUUGUGAAAGAUGUUAGGAGAAUUUAGUCAUAGUUCCUUAACAUAAGACGAGUAUUCAAAAAGCGAGCUCUACAGCUAGUAUCCAAACACUAUGAGAAGAAAGAGGCCUAUGACCAAUUAAUCUUCUUUCAUCUAUGAAAGAAUAAAUUAAAUUUGGUUGAUUAUCAUGUUUUAGUUCGGAAGACGAGUGUUGAAAAAGCAAUCUCUACAACUAGUAUCCAAAUAAUCGGGAAAGAAAGAGGCAUACGCCCAAUUAAUCCUUUUUCAUCCGGUUUAUUUGAGAAAAAUAUUUUUGAAGCGCUUUGAAUGAGUUUGAAAAAGAACUUGAUGUUGAUCAAAUGUUUCCCCACUUUUUUUCUAAAAGAUUUAUUUGGGACCUUUUCUUAUAGGUCUGACAUGUUUGAUGAUAUGGUUUAUGACUUUUUAAGAGGCUUGAAUCCAUGUACUAAGGUUGAAUCACCUUCUUCCCUAGAAUCAUAAUUUUCUCUUAUUUCUUUCUAUUUAUCAAUCCAGCAGUGAACACAAACCUUCCUCGUGCUUCUCUAGGUUUUUGGCUUGAGGAGGCCAUGAUGAAGCUUAUGGAAAGUCUUGAGUGUAUUCUUCUUACGAUCUUCUCUAAUUAGAACUCGUGCAAGAAAUAGUGAGAGUGCAUACAUAUUUAUAAUGCGUCUUCUGACAUUUAGAUAGUGUAUUUCUGGUAAGAAAACAAUGAGGGUUGUUCUCAUUGAAAAUCAAAUCGAAAUUAUUCAAAAUUGAGUGCGCCAAUCGAUUGGUUAACGACCCCAAUGAAUUGAUUAAUCAGGUCUUUCUUGAUUUUAAAUGUUCAUCAUCAAUUAUGGGAUUUGAUUAGCUUGCAACAUGCAUUUAGCUUGGAUUCGAUUUGAAAAUAUGCGCGUCAAGCUCUUCCAAUUAAUUUUCUUAAGGUGUCAAUCGAAUGGACUUACGUCAAUUAACCUCCUUGGUGCAUUUUAGGCCUUGUGCCAAAUUUUGUUGCUUUUCUACACUCCGAUUAAGUUUUAUUUGCACUUCAUUUCUAUGAAACACUUAGAAACUCCUCUUUUUGGUUAGUGGACAUCAUUUAUCGAGAUGCGCAAAAUCAAAACCACCAUUUUUAAAGAUUAAUCGAAUUUUUCUGAUCAUUUCAAUCAUAAAACAAUGUACUACCUCAUAUAUCAAAAACACAUCCUAGUGAUUAGUUACAUAUUACUCACCAAUGAUAUUUUACAUUGAUUGUAGAGGUUAAACUCACAACCUCUUAGUAUGUGAUUCUCCUUACCAACUGAGUCAACCUUCAUUAGUGUUGGAUAGCGAUGAAUACAGGUUGGAUUGAACUUUGUUUGUUCUAAUCCAUUAUCCAAUCCGUUCAAACUUUAAUGAGUAAAGUUCAUCGUCAAACCCAAAAUUUCAAAAUCAAAUCAAACAAAAUCGAUCUGUUCAUUUAUGAGUUGGGUUAGGUUGAGUUUGUGAGUUGAGUUUCAAAUAAAAAAUAUUUUUUGUCAAUUAUAAAAAAAUAAUAACACAAUUCGAUAAAAUUACACUCAUUUGUAACACUCAACUUGUAUGAAACACAUUAUAUAAUGUCCAUAAAAUUCAUCCACUUAAUAUUAGUAGACAAUUUCACAAAACACCUUAUUUUAAUAAAAUAUAUAAUGUGAAAAUGAUAUAAAAUGAAAUCAGAUACAAUAUUUAAUCUUAGAAUUAUUUAAGUUCAUGGUCUAGUAGUAAUAGUGUUGAUGUUAAAUAGAUAUAUUUUUUAGAAAAAAUUGUGAAUAGUACUGAUUAUUGUGAAUUGAGUUGGACAUACCCGUAAAUAAGCGAGUUUGAAUAAUUUGUGAGUUUGUUCAAUUUGAAUCAAUAAAUUUGCACGUUAACUCACAUCAACGAACACCUUAUAAUUGGAUGUCUUCUUUUGAUGGAGAAACAAAAUGAAUAAUUUUAAACUUGUGGUUGGACGAUGCAUUUUAUAAACUGAAAUUUAUGUAUUUAUUUUUUCAUUUGAUAGCAGCCAUACAAUAGUAUGUGUACAUAAAUUUGUACAAAGACAUAUAUGCUAUAUUCCGCAACAACAUAGGGCUCCUUGACAAGCGCUACGGAAAGUGAUACCCUUUUGUGCACAACUCUUAAUACACUCUUGAGGAUGAUCUGGACACAAAUCAGGUCGUUUCUCACAGUCUUGUGGCUAAGGAGCGUCAUUUAAUCUUUCUUUUGUUCCAAUCACUUUAUAUGUGCC
This 65470-nucleotide long non-coding RNA is filed under the name Lathyrus oleraceus (garden pea). Its description in RNAcentral is "Pisum sativum (pea) long non-coding RNA (PSAT_LNC022021)". Lineage: Eukaryota; Viridiplantae; Streptophyta; Magnoliopsida; Fabales; Fabaceae. The record is from RNAcentral.